RNAcentral lists this long non-coding RNA (49104 nucleotides) under Coffea arabica (coffee). Its description in RNAcentral is "long non-coding RNA (CARA_LNC006274)". Lineage: Eukaryota; Viridiplantae; Streptophyta; Magnoliopsida; Gentianales; Rubiaceae. The record is from RNAcentral.
UUUUUUUUUUUUUUUUUUUUUGUUGACCAAUGGGGAAGAGAAUUGUGAUUAGUUUGCUAAUAUUUGACGAAAAAUUUUUCUAGAAAAAAGUCUACAUGCAUUAUGUAAUCCAUUCUACUCAAAUAACUCCUCGAAGUUUUGUCAUUCUGGCUAUUGUUUUAGUAAACAGAUUAAUUCACAAUAGAAACAAUUUAAUUUUUUGAGUAAAUUAUCAAUUAUCUAAUUUCAAAUUGUUUUAGUCAUUGCAAAUAUUAAAUUGAUGAAAUAUAAGGUCAAACGCUAGGCUGAGAGAUAGUACAAAAUUACUAGCCAGCAUUGCUAAUUAUAUAUUAGUGCAAAAUUACUCGCUAGCAUAUCUAAUUAAACAAAAGUCGUGGGGUAAAGUGUAAUUAACCCUAACAUGAAUUAUUGUCCGAGGAAAAUUUUAGUUUCACGCACUUUAGGAUAAUGUGAAACUCAGUAACGAAUAAAAUAGGGUAAAUAACCAACCGUGUGAACACGCGUUGGGAUAGAGAUUCUUUAAUUAAGUUGAGAAAUUCGGUACUAACGUUGGACAACACAUGGGGUGUCCAUGUGAUCGCCUGCCAACCGGGCAGCCCUACCAGCUCACUUUAAAGCCUCUGUCCCCUUCCUGCCCCAAAAUAUUCUGACCCCAUAAACAGCCGCACCACAGCUGGCCCACUUAGCCCGAUCAUUUUUUUGCUAGCGACAAUCGGCCACGUUUUUCCAUUUCCUAGAUUGAAUUUUGCCUUGUGGUUGAUAAGUUACCUGGAUAAAUUUAUUGAGAUAUUUGUACUGUGAUUUUGGUCGAAUCAAUUAUUUUCUUUUCUAUGCAAAAAUAUACAUUCCUAUGCAAAUUAUGAAAAGCCUUUUAGUCAAUAUAAGUUGAUUAAAUUGGUAAGGACAUGUCACUUUUUUAUAAAAGAUUAUAUAUUCGAACAUGUAAGGACUAUGUUGACGAACGAUUUAUAAAAAUUCAUAUUAGUGAUUUAUGGUUUCAUCGGCAUGCGUGGGCCUAUAGUGGUGACGGAGUUGAAUCUAGCAAAACUUUUUCCUACCAAAAAAACCUUCUGAAUACAAUUUUUUUUUUAUCCUCCCACGCCUCCCACACCCUUCCUGCUCCCAACUAUUGGACAUAGGAUUCGAAUCUUGAAUCUGAUAAUAAAAAAAAUUCUAAUAACUCUCUCUUAACCACUGGAUGACCUUCUGAAUACAAAUACUACUCUUUUCGUCCUAUAAAGAUAGACUCGCUUCUAUUUUCACACAAUUAAGAAAUGUAAGUUAAUACAAUUAAUGUGAUCAUUUUUACUUAAUACUUUCCUGGCAUGCCUUCCCAUUAAUACUAGUUUUAAUGUUGUAUUUAAUACUACUAAAAUAGUUCACCAAUAUUAUACCUUAUUUACUGACAAAGAUGUACUUUAAAUAUGGGAAUGAUAGUAAAUUGAUAAAUUAACUACCUUUUAAAAAGGAAAUAGGCCUACAAUUGAGAACAAUCACAAAAAGACUAAGCCUAUCUUUAUGGCACAAAGGGAAUAUUAAAAUUUAAGAGGGGCUAAAUUCAUAGUUUGUACAAAUAUCAAUCCUGAAUCCUGGUAGUAUCAAUCAUUAAUGCAUAAAAAAGGAAUGAAUUUAAUCUUAUUCUAGAGUUCUUGAAUGAUUUUGGGAUCAACAAAUCAGAAAGUAAUUAUUCGAUCACAACAGGUUGGGACCCCAUGCCCCUCAAGAGAGCCUGGUUAUACGAUUUAUAGAUUUUUCUUAGUAUGUUUCUUAAAUGCAGUAAAGAUGUAGAGUACUUAUUGUCUUCAUAAAGGAGAUGGAAGGGGAGGGCUAUCUUUCUAUAGUUGUUUUGACUUCAAAAAAUUUUUUUUUGGGCUUAAUGAAUGAGAUUUGGAUUCUUGCACUUAAAUGCUUUGGGGUGACAGAACUCAUAUAGUAGUUAUUAGCAAUAUUUGUUGAAUAGCUUAUAGAUUGCACAUUGAGUAUUCAUGUUUAUAGCACUACUUAUACUUCGUUUUUUAAUUUUAUUUCGAAAACUUGAAAUAUGAAAAAUUAGUGUGAAAGUUCUGUCACUGGCGCCACACUCAAAACCUCAUUUCCUUAUAAACAUAACUUUGAAAGUAUAUACUAAUAACAUACUUUAUUAGGUUUUUCUAAUGGAUGUUCAUAGAGUACUCAUUAGCAGAUCUAAAAUUUACAUAAUCUACCAUAUAUAUACAUAUACUAAUAAUUAUUACAUUCCCGCGCAUUUAUAUACUUUUCCUAUUUAAUCUUACUUAUCUUCCUUUAUAUUUAUUUAAUUUUCCUAAUUAAUCUUACAUUUAUAAAAAAAAUAUGACACCUGAAAUAUAUUUUAGACAGACUCUACUUUAUUUAGUAUUUUUUUUUUCAAAAAUUGAUUAGUAAAGUCAGUAAGAAAAAUAUCGCUACUAUAUUCAAGUUCAUAGAUGUCGGAUUUCAACAAUAGUAAUCAGUUAAAUAAUUACCUCCAAAGUCCAAACUCAUAAUAAAUGUGUUUUAGGAACAUUCUUUACUUUCUUGAGACCAGCUAGCUGCAGUAAAUUAUUUCACAUAACGCGUCAAGUCUGUCAUUGUUUAAUACUUAGGGUGCGUUUGAUACAAUUGAAGUAUGAAAACUGAAAUCUGAAAUCUAAUUCUAUUAAGUUAUCGAAUUGUUAAUUAUUAGAUUUAAUACAUUUGAGUUUAUAUCAUAAUAAAUGAUAAGCGAAUAGUUUAUCACUUAUUUUUUAGAUCAAGUUUUACCUAAAAAAUUCAGUGCCACUUAAUUAAUUUAAAUGUUCAAGUUUUGAUUAUCAAACACAUCUUAAUAGUCAAGAUCUGAAUUUAAUAAAUUGAAGUGCUAAAUUAAAUUAUUAAACAGGGUCUUAGUAUUUUUAUGAUAAAUUUGGCAUUAAGAUUUCGAAAUCUAUAGCCUAAAUACUCAAAACUCAAUCAGGUUGUCUUGUCUAAUAUUUUGGUUUCCAGGUACAUUAGUAUAACUUGCAAAGUACACUUAAACAAUACUGUUUAAGAGUUUACCAGCAACAAGUGGUCGAAAAUCACGACAUGUUUAAGUGAUAGAUACAAAUAUGAAAUCUCUAAACUCAAUGAGAUAAGCCGUUAUUUAAUUUGUUUUUGCCGUAUGUCGUUUAGAGUAGGAUUUUCUCUAUUUAAAUUGGUAGGUGUGUGAAGCUUGCAGAACUGUACUUUCCUAAUUGGAAACAAAGAUUCAGUUUGCUUCGAUCAUAAUUAAUCCUGAAAAACACAUGAGAGAAACAGAUCAGGGACAACUAAGAUAAUCAUGUAUUAAUUAAACAGUUUGACUUUGUUGUCAACAGACAAAAGCACAUCAUCUUCACCAAAUUUGUUGGGCAACUUAAUCAAUCAUUUCUUCUAUUGUGGGCUUCAAAGGCCAGAAAACAACAAUCCCUUCACGAGUUUACUAUUAAUACGUGAAGAAAUGAGAGACAUAUCAAUAUGAUUCCAUGUGAACCUAAUUAUUUAUUAUCCAUAUGAUGAGUCGAUUUAUCUCAUGAAAUCCAAAUGAAUUAUGAAAAUGAAGCUUGAUCAACCGAGUCAACCGAUUUUUUAGUUAACCAAGAUUAAGAAACCAUUAAAAAUAACGUUUGGUCCGCAUCUGACUCGCUUGGAAUACUCCCUGUCCCCAGAGGCAAUAUGACUCGAAAUAAAAACAAUGCAAGACUGUUAAGCUAUAACCCAACAGAAAAAGGUCCAAGAAUUGCUUAAAUUCCUAGAAAGACUUUUUUUUUUUAAAUUACAUUUUCGUAAGACCAGACAGACAUUGGUCCACUGUUAAGGGAGAAAAUGAAAAAGUGAUUAAGAUGAACUUUUGGGAUUAAUAUUUUUAAUCUGUUAGUGUAAAAAUUAUUCUCACAAAUUGAUCUAGAUGCAUAACACAUCAUAUCAAUUCAAAUUUGAAAUUUUAUUUUGCUCAUAUAUCAUGAAUCUACACUUGUUUGUGGAGUUUUUCUUUUUUCUUUUUUUGCCAAAAUAACUCUCUUUCUAAAAGAUAUUCUCAAUGUGAUUCACUUUCAAAUGUUAUUCUCAUAAUGAUGUUAUUAUUGCCACCUAAUUAUCCUAACUGCCAUUACAAGAAAGCAAAACUUCAAUCUAGUAGCAAAUAUAUAAAUCUAUGCUUUUUGUCACAAUAAUCUUUUUCUCAGAAAAUGACCCGAACUAAUAUUGUUUCAAAUUUUAUUCUCAUGUUAAUCUAUUUAUUGUCACAUAGAUUCCCAAAUUAAAGGAAAAUAACCAUGCGAGAAAAUUUUGUUCUAAAUAUCCAAUCUACCAACAAUUUUACUCUUAUUUUCUACUGCUAUUGUAUCUCUUAGAAUUCUAUUUAACUAUGCUUAACUAUUAUAUUGCAAUUCCUUUCUUUUUUCUUGUUAUUUGUAAUUAUAUCUGUGAUAAAGUUUUUAUUUUAUUCAUUUUAGUAUUUUGCAGUAUUUUAUAUUAGAAUACGUGCAAAUAAAUUUUGGUCAAAAAGGUGAUCAAAGUUGAAUUUGACAUACAAGAAUUGCAUGUCAAACGUGAAACGAAGUGAAGAAAAAUCUCUUGCAUUCAAAAAUCAUAAUUACUAGAAUAAGAAGUUAGCCCCGAAAGAGUAAUAUAAUACAAGAACCAAGGAUAGUUAACCGUUGAUCUGUGGAAGAACAGCCAUUGAGUUCUGAGGAAAAACUUACCUUCUUUUUCCUUCAUUCAUUAAAAUCCUUUUUGCACAAAUCCUUCACCAAAUGAAGUAUCAUGAACGGUUGAACCCCAAGUUCUCUGAUUUUUCUUUGAAAGCUAUUUUGGUUUUUCUCAGAUAAUGCUAUUACAAGUAGUACUUAACACUUUAAGCAUAUAUACCUCUAAAUAUUUGGUGCAAAGUUGUAGAAAAAAUGUAUAUUUUAAAGCAAUUUCUUUUUCUCAUAUUUUCAGUAAUUGUUGGCACAAAUUUUUGAGGGCAAUUUGGUCAUUUGAAGGCUCCUAAUGGUGACAUCGUCAUCUCUACAUGAAUGGGGAGGUCAGUGCAAUUUCGAAUAUUUAUGUGCAAUUAUCAAAAAUAUCAAGGGAGGUUUCUAAAAUUAUCCAUAUUUUAUAAACAAAAGAUUAUUUUGGCAAAAAACUCCUUGUCUAUGUGUAGAACUUUUUACAUUAUCGGUGCAUGAAAUAUUAAUUUUAACAGGAUAUUCCUACUUUUGUAGUCAUAGCUCAUUUCAUUUUUUUUGUUUAACACAAGUAAACCUAGCUUCAUACCACAUAAUUGUCAAAUUAAAUAUACCUUUUUCUUUAAUUUGCCACUUCACUUGUUUGGAUUGAAUAUCCACACCAAUAAUUAUGUUAAAUUUUAAAAUCCAAAGGUCGGAACUUGGAAAUAAUAAGCUCCGGAUCCAACUGUUCAGCAAAUUAUUUCAUUGACUUAGCUGUGCAUUGGUUAGAUGACAAUCUCGGACGCCAUAUCUUAUUGUAUACGAGGAUCCUGUUUACUCCAUUAAAUACGGAAAGCGAAGUAUUUUUCCAUUAUCAGUUGAGACAUUUUAAACAUAUGUCAAAGUCAAACGAGCAGUUUUAGAAGAAAGGUUUAACUUUCAAUUGUUUAACCUAAACAUCUUAACCGGCUAAUUGGCAGGCUUUUGGUUGGAUCUGCAACGCAGAUCUGAUUUAGACUCACUAAAUUUAUUAAUGCAAAGACACUUCAGUCAGUGAUGAUAGUUUCACUGAUGGUCAGUGAAUUGGUGCUAUAGCAAGACAAGGCUGAUUUAAAUAGUUUAAUAUAGAAGUACAAACGAGUCGAAUUUAAUCGAGUAGCUCAUGACCUUACUUGGUCAAAAUUCGAACACGAAUUUGCAUUGACAAAAUUCGAACGCAAGUUCGAGCAACUUGGUGAGUCGAGGUCGAGUUUACUAUAUGAACCUCGAAAGCUCAUCAAGCUUAAUCGAGUUUCAUAUAUGUAUAUAUAUAUAUAUAUAUAUUUUUUUUAUUUAUUAGUAUGAAAUGUCUAUUUUGUCUCUCGUUUAAAAUUAAAUAAAAUAUAUAUUUAUAUUUCUUAAACUUGAUUGGAUUCGAUAAGAAUGAGUUUGAACUCGAACUUAAGUAAUGUAAAAUAGAAUCGAGUUUGAAUUUGAAUCCAAAUUUUUAAACUCAAAUCCGGCUCGAGUAGUGAAUUCGACACAAUUAUACCCCUAGUUUAAUAUGAUAGUUUUCAGGAGUAGACGAUCGGGAACCCAUAAGACUGGACUUGCAAAAAAAUAAGGAGAAUAUAUGGGCACAAUAACAUUUAAUAAUUCAAAGACAAAUAAGGACCCAUAGCCAUAACCCAUUUGUUAGCUUCCUACCUUAUUUAACUGUUCAGCUCUUCCUCUUGUCUUCAGUUAUCUAGAGCCUUGCAUAGUCAACGUAUAGAUUAUUUUACUGUCGUAUUAUGCAUCUCGUCUAUUGGCCUUGUAUGUUGAUCAGCAUGUAGCAUUUGUAAAUAGAAAUGAUGUCAAAAGGAUGAUUUGAUGUUUGUAACGAAUUCUAGGAUGUUACUCGUUGUAAUUGAGAUCUGCAAUCUUUUGAUGAACGCUAAGUGGCUUGAUGUAUUUUACUUAUUGUUCAUUUGCUUCAUUUUACUAUGUAGGUUUCUGGAGCAUCAAGUGCUAUGUAAUUUGGCUGGAGCAAUUUGCAAAUAUACAUGAUGGAAACUCUGUCGAAUGCUUUUCACAACCAAUAGCUUCGUUAACAUUUUGGAGCACAAUUACAUCAACUUCAUCAUCAACGCAUCGAAUUUUGAUCUAGUCAGGUUUUUAUACCUAUAGCUGCUUAUUUAUAUAUAGCCUUUUUGGGCUGUGCUUCGCAUAAAUUUGGAUAGAUUAGAUUACAGAAAUAUUAUUAUUGUUGUCAUAAAAAAAAAACGACGUAUCAAACUUUCUUCCUGCUUUCUUUCUUCAUACCAUACAGCUUAGCAGACUUUCUUUAGCCACAGGUUCUUCGUACCAUGGCGUUGGCCCACUUCGAAUCUUACUGGAGCUCUCCACUAGCCAACUAAGCAGUAACAAUAUUGACGACAAAACAAUUGCCAUUUGCAAUUUCAGUUCCCGUGAUCUCAGUUUUUCAAUCAUUAUAUCCUCAUUGUUCUUGCUUCUUAGCAGACAAGGAAUUAGUGCGGUAGAUAUCGGGCACAUGAUUGGGUCAUGCCGCUCAAAAUAGUUGCAACCAGUGCCAUCUCUGCCACCUUUCUCAAUCAGCAAAAACAAAGACAAAAUUAACUUGGGAGUGUUGCACUUCAUAAUCACAAAAAUUGUCCAUACUUUCCUAGCGCUGCAAAGUUGCAGUUUGUCCAGGAAGUAAUCAUUGUUGCCGGCUCACCACAUUUGCAAAAAGUUUCUUGAUAUCAUAAUUUCUUACAAGGAGAUUAAGGAGCUUCGAUGAAGAUGAGUAAAGGUUUUUGCCCUAAUUAAGAAACACACAAAUAAUCUGCCAAAGAGAGAAAGGAUUCUGUGAUGCUUAACGUAGAUCUCUGUUUCUGGCUUGCUUUUAUGGUUUCUUUCUCCUGAGAUGUGGUGGGAAGCGCCCAAGGGGUAGUCUAGGGGCUCUUGGAUUGAAUGAGGUCUUAAAUUCGAAUCUUUUCCUAAACUUGAACCCUUCUAUUUAAUCUGAAUCCGUUAUGGGAGGUUGCGGUGUAUUCCCGAUUUAGUGUGUCGGUUGGGUGGAUCCGUUGUGGGGGGCUGCGAUGUAUCCCCGAUUUGCCUUGUUUGGAUUGCAACUUUUCGUCGGAAAAUUACGUUGUUUUCCGUGAUCACAUUUCCCUAUUAUCUUUUUUCCUCACAUACAUCAAAUCGCUACAGUAAUUUUUCCAUAAAAAAUCAUGAAAAAUGCAAUCCAAACACAACCUUAGUAUGUAGAUUUAGGUCCUAAGUGGUUCGAAUCGGAGCAUAUUCCAAAUCACCCAAAAAAAAUGUGGUGGGAAUCUCAAUUAGAAAGAGUUGGAUGCAGUUGGUUUUCAUUCUCUUUUUUUUUUUUUUUUUGGCCUUUAUCAACUAAUCUUAAUUGUGUUUGCACCUGUUUAAUUAACAACAUGUCAGAGUUUGAUAAUUUUAACCUAUUUUUUUGUGUUUAAAAGAAAAAUGAAAGGCUUUUAAGUCAUGACAUGUAACUGCAUGUACCAUUAUUUCAGUUACAAAAUGAAUGAAAUUCAUCAAUUGUCCAAUUUCCUGCAAAAUCACAUGAUCGAUUGCGAAUCACAUCUACGAAACCAAAUAGAUUGGGGAUUGAAAUUGCACAUGAAUGAUAGUUUGGGGAUUAAAACUACAAUUCUUCCCGUUUUUAUUUACCAAAUUUAUAAGUCAACUCAUUGAAAUUGUUAAAUGUUCUACCCUAGAAUGAACGCAUACUUUCCGCGCAACUAGUGUCAUCAGAUCUUCUUUAGCAAUGGUAGUACGAAAGACUUUUUCACGUAAGGUGUCCAAGCAUUGUAACUUGUGCCUAGUGUAGUGGCAGAGGUAGAGCACUAGACUUAUGUCCUCUAGGCAAGACUUCGUGUUCAAGAAUAAUUAAUUAAACUAAUUAAUUAAGAUGAGUUUUAUUGAAUGAUGGUAGGGCUUGUGUUUGGUAUUCAUUUGAUAGUUUAAUAAUUUGAUAGUUGAGUCAAUAAAAUGAAACGUGUAUCAGAAAAUUAAUGCCGAGUUUUAGACCCAUAAACUCACCUAGUAAUGAUGAGUUUUUAUAACAAGUUGUUAAUCAAAUUCUUGAAACUUAGAUUCAAGUUGAUGAUGAGUAAAUUGUAAAACGAUUUUGUGAAAAUCUUGGAAAAGUGCAAAAAUAGUUGCUCAGGGUGUUUUCCAUAUUUUUUCCUAACUUUUAAAAUGACACAAUUUUGUCCCAAAUGAUACCUAAAAUUUUUUAGUUGUGCACCAUAGGAUACUAAUUUAAGGGGCAAAAUAGGCAUCACACAGUAUUCUUGCUCAAACAUCAACUUACGCUUCACCCUACUAAACAAUAAAGAAUGAUUGAAGAUGAAACUAUUAUAUGUUAAAUUUUCACAUAUAAAUAUGGUCUUGAAGACUUUGAAGUAAGUUUGACUGUUUUUUUGAGAUAUUAUCAAAAAAUCAUUGAUCGAUAAUUAUUCAGCCCUAAAACUACAAAAGGAGGAGACUGUAAUUUUCACUAUAAUAUAAUAAACUUUUAGAUUAAUCUUUCUUACACUGACAGUUAUACACUGUCAGCCUUAAUUGAAUAACAAUUAUGCAACAUUUGAAUUGAAAUCCAACUUUUGCACGUGUGUUAUGGAUUCAACGGUAAUAGUAUAUAUAUUGUUAGUGCAUAUAAGAUUUUCUCUAAAUUUUUCUUGCUUAAUCGUGCCUUUAGAUUUCAUAGUGCACUUGGUCCUCUCAAAGAGAUGCCUUUAGGUUUAUCAUUCAUUUAAAUGGAAAUUCCCCAAUAUUUGUCUGAACGAAAUAUUUCUUCCCAAAGAGUGCGUUUUGUACACGUAAUGUACUAAAUUGUGUCCUUUUAAAAAUAAAAGGCUAAAAGAGGACAAACACAAAAUUUGAGGGACAAUCAGUGUGAUUUCAAGAUGAUUUAACAUCCAUAAAUAAGAUAAUAAACGCAUAUGAUUUAUAACUCUGAAUUUAUAUUUUUGACUUCAUGCAAUUUUGGUCAAGGAACACUGACGCCCCAUUGGAUAAAUGAGUUUUUUUGGUGUUUGUUUAAAAUUUUAUGAUAACUUACUGUAGAAGUUGUAGAAAAUUUUUUUGAAGUGUGUAAAUUUUUGGAUAUUUUGAAAUAUAUAGUUUAAAAAUUUUGAGAAAUAUUUUAAUAUUACUGUAAUUAAAGUUGUUAAAAAACUUGUAACAGAAAAACUUGGCAAAAAACUUGCUUGCCAAAUAAGGCCUGAAUUUUCGAGUAGUCCGAACUAGGUAGAAUAUUUGACCAAAAAAAACAAAAGAAUGAGGUAGAAUAGUUUGGAUGUGUAUACAGGCAUCAUGAAAUAAGCCAAGGAUGUAGAAAUUUUAAUUCUUUUGAACUUGGGUUUUGCCUUUCAAGUUUAAUUUGCCCUGAUUUUACACUAGAUUAUAAACUUUUGAUUGAUCCGAUUGUACCUGUGAUGAUUUUUGAAAUUAGUAUAUGAUAAUUUCUUGACUAUUUGUACAUAAAAAGGUUGAUUGCGUUUAAACCGCUGCCUGUUUCCUCCACAGAUUCUUCUUCACAUUGACAACCACAUAUUUGUAUCAAUAUCUAAAAUAAGUCUAAUUCAGCAUAACCCCUAUAGUUCUAAGUGAAAUGACAAUUUCUACCAUGAUAAAGAUGAACAAAUUACUCACAUACUGCAAGAUUGCACAUCUUUCUGCCAAUAAAUUGAGCAGUUUUAUACUGUAACAACAGUAACUAGUCAUUUAGUUAGAGAAUGUGAGAUGCAUUACAUAAGUCUGAAAAGAGAUAGUUUAGAAUUAACUAUAUUUAUACACUUUUUUAUUUGAAAAGAAGUGAGGCGCUGGGAGAUUCUAUCAUGAGUAAUUUGCAAAAUCUAUUCACCAAAAAUUUUUUUUUUUGCAAAAUCUGUUCAUUAUGGCCAAAUCUUGGCCAAGGCCUUGUACUGCAAAAUCAGAAAUGCAGGGGAUCAUUUUAGUUUACAAUAUCUACAUACUUACAAGCAAGUAAUUCAAUGUUAAGUUGUUAAUGAUAUCAACACCUAACUUAGGCCCUAUUUGGUAAUUCAAUUCAACACUUAAAUUUAAUGGAUUUAGACUUUAACAUUUAGACGGUUUUGAUAACCAAAAAUAGAAUAUCUUAAUUAAUUAAAUGGCUCUAAAUUGUCUAAUCAAAACUUACUCUAAAAAAAUAAGUGACAAGCUGAUCACUUAUCAUUUUACGUAGAAUACACUCAAAUGUUAGUAUUUUAGUAAAUAACAAUUCAUUAAAUUAACGAUUUCAGAUUUCAGUUUUAUCAAAUACAGGCUUAGGGUCUGUUUGAUAACAUAAAAAAGUGUUGAAUCUGAACUUUUUCAGACAUUUAGAUGUUUUGAGUAUUUGAUAAAUGAAAAUCCAUUUGCUCAAUUUGUUAAGUAGUGCUGAACUUGUGUGUAUUUUUUUCAGCACAAGAAUACUAACUGAAUGCUUAAUUCUGAUAAAAAUCAAUAGAAUUACUUCAACUACCUUAUCUUAUCUACCAAACCUACCCUUGUUUAUUAAUUAUAUUCAAAAUCCUUAUCUAAUUAAACAACUUAACAUUCUCUAUCUAAUGAUUUUCUAUUUCUCUUUUCUGCCUUUUUAAUGACUUUCACAUAUUACCCAUACUCAUAAUAUAAUAUAUUUCAUCUUUUAUAUUAAUUUGAUUUAAAAAUAAAUAUUGUCAAUUUCAUACCUAAAAAUUUUAAGCUAAUUAAAUCAUAGGUUCUAUUUCUUUUUUGGAAGAAAAGAUAUAAGGGCAAAAUUGUUAAAUUUAACUUAUUAAGCAUUCGGUUAUAAAUGUUUAUCAAACAAUAUAAAUAGAUUCAGCAUUAAAAUUCAGACAUUCAUAUAUUUCUUUUUAGUGCUUAAAAUUUAGUAAAUUAAUUAUUUCAAUAUUCAAAUUUCAGAAUUCAGACUCAACUUUAUCAAACAAAACCUUAGUCUAAACUCUGAAAUGAACAAGAUGAAAUAGGCAUUUCAAUUGUGAGGUAAAAUCUUAAAAUGAUACGAGGUUCUUAGAAAUAGAGGAAAUGCAAGUAUUUGACUACGGUUGUAAGAUAUAUUAACGACUACUUCACAUCAUAGUUUGUUCAUAAGCAACAAGAUACCUAGAACAUUAACAUUAUAAAAUUGAAGCAAAAGAUGUUCUAGGAGUUUAAUCUCCGUAAUAGAAUGUGCAAAGGCCUUUUUGCUGGGAUCCAGCGCAUCAUAGUGGAUCUUCUGUAAAUUGAAUGAAAUUAAUGAGUGCUGAAAUAUGUAUUGAGUGCCCCCAUUAUGUUUAUGCCCUUUUCUUCUUGUUUCUGUUGUAACAUUCCACUCAUUUGUUGGUUGCCCAAAGAUGUAGCAAAACAUUUAAAUCUUUGGUAUGAGUGCAAAAGGGUGAUAAAUCUCAUUUCUCCAGCCACAAACCUUUGUUCUGUUUAUGAUCUGCUAAGGGCAACUAAUACAUGCGUGAAUAGGAACAUCUAUCAAAUUACUCUCAGAAGAAGCAGAGUAGCAAUAAUUGAACACCAGCCACUCUAUGUAAUAUGCAAAAAAAAAAAAAAAAGCCAGCAUAUCCUGCAGUAGUUAAUAAAUUAUCCACGUUCUCUUUUGCCCUUUACCGUCCCUAGCACCACCAAAAGGUUCAAAGGUAGGAUACGGCUGCAAAUAAUCCCAAAUCGAGCCGAGUUUGUCUUUGAUUGCAAGGUAGCUCUUCUACACCUGGCAAACCUAGGGAAUUCCCCAGCUCAUCGGACACCAAGCUGCGGUCGUGAAUAGCCUUUGAAACAGCAACUCAAUGAAUGCUAAUUGUUCAACACCCAAGAAUGCUAAAACUGCAUCAACAGAACCAGUUUUGAAAAGUGAAUCUCAAUAACACGCUUCUAAUCAGAUUUUAGUAGAAACACUAGCCUAGAUCAAUUCAAGAAGUAGCGUAACAUGUCACCCUUAAUAGAAUAGCGUAGCUCAAACUUUGGCUUAUUACAAGACAAUAUGCCAAUCCAUUCCAUGAGUUUCCUUUAUGAGCAAAUGAAGUCACCAAAAGUGGUAAUACACAAAAUGUAGACAAAGCAGUACUGGCAGAAUCAUAGAAAUCCAAAACUCUGGACAAGCCAAGAGAAGAUGUCCAUAAAAUUACAGAGAAUUGUGAAACUCUUUUUCCUAACAGGAAUGAAGUACAUAUCCAAAUAAAUGAGACGAUCAUUUUGAAGAAAUUGAUUUAGCACCUACAGAAUCAACUCCCUGAUUAAAGCAUAGGAAAUGGGCUUGCCUCAUAGUUAAAGUCUCACGAGCUGUUGGCCAGAGCUGCAAGGGAUUGUCAACACCACAUGAACUUUUAAUGAAACAGAAGCCUACAUGUUACUCCAUUGACAAGCCUACUAGUCUCGUUAACCAAGGAGAACUCUAGCUAAAUUUCCAUGCGUAAAACAGACACCAGAGGCACUGAAAAAGAUGUAUGAAGCUCAAACAUCUGGCACAACAGUUGAAAGCGCAUUACACAAUGCCCAAAGGUUUUCCUGUCAACAAAAUCAAAGUAAACCAGCACUAAUCGAUAACCAAGUCUGCAUAGUCAAAAUAUUCAUCGUCAAGAUCAGAGAAUUCAUAAUAAUCAUCAUCCAAAGACAUAUGGUCGAUGUCUGAAAAUCUGAACGAAUAAUCUUCAUCAGAUGAUUCAAAAUCCUCAAUGUGACAUUCAAACUCAUAAUCUUCAGUUGAGUCAUGAGGGCGCUUCAAUUCUUUGAUUUGUUGAGAACACCUUCUUUCUAGACUACCUUCAAGACAAAGAUUGAAACAAUGCCGCAAAUCAAGUGACUCAAGGUGAUGGCAACCAUCAAGAAUGGCCUUUAGUCCUUCAUUUGUCAUCUUGUUUCCAAAAAGCUGAAGAUGACAUAAUGAUGGCAUAUUUUCUGCAACAGCUAAUGCCUCCUCAUCACAUUCUAUUUGUGGCCGUCUAAAGCCUUGGCUAUUCAACCUAAAACACUUUAAAUGAGGGCAUGAAUGACCAACAGCUUCAAUAGCUUCUUUGGUGAUUCUAGUAUAGUACAGUUGCAGUUCCUCCAGAUAUGGCAUUUUCUUAACCGCUUUGCUUAGUGCUUCACCAGAUAAAUGAUAGCAAAAUACUAGCCGUAGACGUCUGAGUUGACCUGAUCUGUUUGCACCAAUAAUAAAGCAGAAAAUACGGAAAAUUAAGGCAUAUUCUACCAUCUAUGAUAUUGGAAAGGAAUAGAGAUAAGCAGUCAUAACUCCAUAAUACACUACAAUGAGAUGUAUUAAAGUAUUGAAAAAAAAAAUAACCAUUAUGGCUUAAGGUCCAAAUACAUAUCAGUAUACAUUACACCAAAAUAAUUAUCUCCAUGCUGUUUACAUCUCCUAAUGGCCUUGGAUACUCUAUGGCAGUUAAAAUAUCUAGUUCCCAAUUUGAUCAUAUAGUCAUUCAGUAAGGGUUAGGCCUUGUACAAAAGUAUAAACUCAAUUCUCUUUAACAGGUGCAAUUCUCUUACAGACACAAUAGACCACAUGAAAUGAUCAAGGUUAUUUCCAAAAGAAAAGGAAAGGAGAUACAUAAUACAAGCAAAAACUAUAUCUGGUCUUUUUAUGAUACAUCAAAUUCACCACAAUUCAUAAAUUGCUUCAAAAUCCCAGAAGACCUCAGCAGCUGAGAACAUUUUCAGCAGUCUAACAACUACUAUGAAACAUAAUUUGCCUUCAGGACAUGACAUAAUAUUGUAACAAUAGACCCCUGCAACACUAUGGGUAUUCAACCUUUCUAUUAGACUAGUUGAUGCUGGCAAAGAGAGAAAGCAAAAUGAUAUUAUUAAUUAAUAAAACCCUAAGCUCCAUUUGGAUGAUGCUAUAUAUAAAAUAUAUGUUUUCGAAAAACUAUCAAUGUUCCAAUCACCGUUUAUUUCACAUACUCAGUUUAUCCAAUAUAUGAAAAAAAAGGGAUACUUUUCUUAAAAACACCCUAAAAGCAAUAUCCAAUCAAAGCCUGGAGUAUUUGGGUGGCACAAAGCAAACCCUAGAUGUAGGCUGAAUUACAGCAACAUGUUUGGGUUCUCUGAUAAUAAGUUACACAAGAGGUACAUUUGAUUAACCAUAAGACACAAUAAGGCUAAACUAGAAUGAAAAGAAGCUUAACUGUAAUACAAACUAAUUUAAUUCUGUUUCUUUCUUCUAGAAAAAGUAAAUAAGAUCUAUAUAAUACUAAAAACCUAACCAGCCACAAAAGUAGACACCAUCAAAGUCCCAAGUGACAAAAGCACCUCAUUUCCACAGUAAAUAUGCAGUGCCCAUGAUCAUUAUGGUCCUGCAUCAAUGUAUUUUUCUGGCACUUUCCAGCUAGAAAUUUACAGUGUCAUUGUUUUCCUUAAUUUAUCUCAUAAAAACUUAAUCGAAAGCACCCAUGUCUAGAAACGCAGUGAUGGUGCUGGUAUGGAACAGGGUUGGAUACAAUCAAUUGUAACUUGGAUGCGUUGACUUAAGAUUGGGGAGACUACACUGGAGCAAGUUUGGCAUGAACCCUCCUGGCCAUUGAGGUGAAUUGAAGAAGCAAUUCAGCUAUAUAAAGAAAUUAGCAUACUCAAAUACAUGUAUAAAUUUUCUACUACCAUGGAGUUCCGAGUCCUAAUAUAAAACAUGCUCUACACCAUAUCCAAGUACCUCUACUGAACUUUUGCAAUCAAAACCUGAUAGAUACAACCAACUGCAAGUAACAUGGAUGCAAUUGCAGAAUACUUAACACAUGCAUAAUGAAGUGCAGCAAAGAUUACCAAUAACUAUCCCUCACCCUUGGUGCGGUGGAAUGCAGGGCUUUCCCUUCAAAUGCAAAUGACUAAAAAUGUUAUAGGUAGAUUUAGUGGUGACUAAACUACUAAAGACAGUUUCCAUAUCGUUUGUGCUAUAUUCAAGGCCAUUAGUCCUAGGGUAAUUUCAGCAACAACACUGUGUGACACUCAUGAGUAAACUGAACGAAAAUCAUGGGUAACUUUUGCUAGUACACUAAUUCUAUCUAGAAAGAACAUGUAAAAGAAUUGAGAGAGAGGUACAAAAACAUGGAACAGAGACGCUACAGCCAUACAGAAAGUCUUAUUAACAGAUAUAUGAUCUAGGAUGAAUAUGCAAGAAUAGUGACAUUCUGGAUUUCAUAAAGUGCGUUAUCCAAGGAUUUGCAGCUGUGUCACAGGAAGAGGAAUUAUCUACUAUACCGAUUUUAUCAUAUUAAAAAUAAACUCUCAAUAAAGGAAAAUUAAAAAACUAUCAGCAAUCUACUGAGGGAAAGUUCAAUGACUUCUUAGUCUACUUUUUGGGUCUCAAAUAAGUGCUCUAAUACUCAUGGGCCACUAAUACUCAAGUAGCAUGCUUACAAGAGCAUGUGAAAACCAAUUCUAGAAGAAAUGACAAUAUUCAUCAUUUCAAUUCAAACCAAAAGGCUUUAAUUUUCUCCGACAUGCAUUGAUUCUCCUAUAGUUCCAACCCACAUAUAACAAUAUGACCCAAAUAUAAGUGCCAAGAUUACCAACAACAAUAACUAAGAGUCUCCAUUUGAUCUAUAAUUUUAGAAGUCAUAUUUUUUUUUGGUUGCAAUCCAAUAAAAAAUUACAUUACCAAUCAACAUAACUAAUGGUUUAAUUUUAAUCACUUAUUUUUUUAACAUAACUUGAUCCAAUAUUGAAUAAAAAGAAUUGCAAAAGCAAUAGACGUUGUUAAUCUCUGGUAGUAGAUUCAAUUCUAGAGCUUACACAGGCAUAAAAAAGUAACAAGAAUGAGGUAGCACCAAAGAGUUAAUUAAUAAUAAUGAUUGAAUGUCCCUCAUUUUCCUCGAAUUUGUCGGUCUUUCUGUCAAAAGCUUUUCAAUGUCACAAAGCACUGUAAAUGGUGAAAAAGAUUCCCAUAUGGGGCAGGCCAAAUUAACUCUAAACCCACCCAUGUUUCAAGAACUAGAUUCUUUUUCUUUUUUUUUUCCCUUUAAAAAAAAAAUUAACCCCAACUAUGCUCCAGUAUGGGUUUCCUAAUCAAACUGUAUUGUAUUCUAGGUCACUCUAUCAAAUUGUAUCCAAUCUGGAAUACUUUAAACAGUUAACAAGAUCCUCAUGUGGGACAGGCUAUUUCGGCUGUGAAUUGCCCGGGUGACUACAUUUCCUUUCUAAUGGCCCAACUACACCUGCAAAACCCAUAAUUAUUACCGUUCCCCGCAUCAGUCCUCUAGGUUGUCACAAACAGGCUAGGAAUAAACUUGCUCAAAUUUCCUGUUUCUGUUGUAUUAUAUAGAGGCGUGACCUGUAAUUUACUUCUGAAUCAAAUCAAAUCCUGUCCAUUUUCCACCCAUUUAAUCUUCUCAUACACUAGUUAUCUGUAUUAUGAAUAUAUCCCUAAAAUAAGCACUUGGCAAAUGGAAAUUGCCCAGUUUAACGGAAUAAAAUUAAUCUCCGUUGCACUCAAACUACAAUUUGCUAGGGAUAAUUGAAUUUAUUCCUCAACUCAGCGAUAUAAAUGAAUUUGCUACGCAAUAAAGCUGAACUAUGUCUCAAGAAUUCAAAAAAAUUCACAGUUAUUUUUUCGAGGGAAAAUCAUACCGCUGGGAGAUGUAACAGAGCAAGUCAUCGGUGCCAAAGAACUCAAUGUUGAUAUCAAUCAACUGGCCUUGGCUACGAUCAACAGCGUGGCGGCAAAUCUUCUCAAGGUCAUAGGCGGAGUCCAAGAGGCUUCCGUCGUUCCGCAUAUCAUUGCGCAGGUCGAUAAUGCGCCACAUGGCAGGGUCGACGCACAGGUCCCGCCAAGUUUUACAAACCAAUUGGACGGUCGUGAGAAUCUCAAUUGUACCCAAUUUUUGCAGAAUUAUCGUUGUUAUCUCUGGCGGCAGCUCCACCCACGGCGGUGGCGGAGUUGAUGCCGGUGGGAUUGACCCCAUUUUUUAGGGAUUUAUUCGGAAUGAAGGGUCUGAGGGCAGGGGAAGAUUGAGGAAUGGCAGAGAUAUACGGUUGAUUUUUUAGUACAGAGCCAACAGCUAGUUUGGGAGUUUAGAAAGGAAAAGAUGAGAAAACUUAAAUUAAAAAAAGAAAAGCAAAGAAAAGAAGUAGGAGAAAUUGUUUCGGAGUUUUGGAAAGGGAAUAGCACUAAUAUUGAUUUUUUACUAAAGUGCCUAACCUUUUUAUGUUUUUAAAUUAUAUUUGAAGAGUAAGUAUGAUAUUUCAUUUUUAGUUGCUAGAGUGGUCAAGUUUUCCUUCCAUUUCAUUCCACUCUUGGUCGAAAAUGCUAGUGGGUAUUUAAAGAGAAAAAAAUCUUUUCAUUUUCAUUGCUUUCCUUUCCUUCCUCCCACUUAAAAAUUCCCAAACCUAUAAUUUUCAAAUCUUUCUCUUUAAAUCCUUUCUUUUCCUUUGUUUUCCUUCCAUCCAAACGGACUAUAAAGGGCGUUGAAGGAAUUGAGCAUUUUUUUUAAGUGUAGAUGGGAAGUUUUGACUAGGGAUGGCAACAGGAUCCUCGCAGAGUAUUGGGCCGAGGGAUGGGGUGAGAUAGGAGUGGGAUCGGGGGAAGGGAGGGGAGGGAGUCGGGAAUUUUCUCUUCCUGUUUUAAAUGAGGCGGGAAUGGGGGACGAUACCCGCGCCCCGUUCCCUAUUUCAACUUAUUAAUAUAAAUAAGAAUAAAUCUUAUAUAUACUAACAGUGUAUACACUAUCACGGCUGGAUACAUUGUGAGGAUUCGAAAAAUUUUCUUAUUUUUAUCGAAUAUUAUUGGUUUAUUUAAAUAUUUAUUCAUCCGUUUUCUUCGAAUAAUUUAUUCCAACCAUUUUAAGUCCAUUCAUAUGGAACAAUGUCUCUCUUAUGUUUUUAAAACGUCCCAUUAGCAAAUUUAAUUUUUCGAAAGUUUGUUUAAGUGAGGAAUAACGAGUAUACGUGUUUCGAGACGAUAUUUUAGCCGAGAGUACAAUUACCUUGGACAAUUAAGAAUGAUCAAUAGUAGAUUGAGAAAAAUUAAUUGAGGGAGUAGAGAUGAAUGAGUUCUAAUUAAGUUACCUCAUGUUCGCGUCGAAUGUUUUCAAAAAAUCACACCGCGCGGCAAAUUGGAGGCUCGAGGAAUCAAUGUGUGAGUACUCAUGGUUUAUUUCUAAGAUAACUAUUUUUUAUGAUUAAUUACCCUAAUAUUAGUUACUUCUAUUAUUGUUACAAGAAUUUCUUUUAAGUUUCACUUUAUCGCGCACGAAUCGAAAAUUCGCGUAAAUCGAACCAGAGCGGCUAAGUGGAGAUUUAAGAAACUUAAUCUAAACUACUAAGAGUGAAUAAUUAUAAUGCUUAAGGAAGUGCAUUAGAUGUUUAGUGCACAAGUGAAACAAACCCGAGAGCAAACGGGCACGAAACGCGCGCGUACGCGCACUAUUGGAGAGUUGACUUUUGUGCACAAUGGCCACCAACCACCAAGCUUCCAUGUGAAGCUUCAUUAUCAGAUUUUCACUCCCUCUCACCUCACUCAUGCUGGCCGAAACUCCAUAGGAGGAAGAAGACUAAAACCUUUCACUAUAUCACCUCAUAUCUUCCAUCAAAUUCACUCCAAAUUCAUACCACAACUUGCAAACAACUUGGAGACUAUCUUGGACUAGGAAAAGAGCACCAUUUCCACGGUUUCUUGGAGCUCAAAGUGACCGAAAAUUCUGCUCUAACAACACCAAGAGGUAGUGAAUCAUCCAACCUUUGAAUCUUAGGGCCUGUUUGGAGCCUUGGUUUUUUAUCAAGUUUGUAUAAUACUAGUUUUUUAACAACUUUUGCUACAGGAACCCCAAAAAACUUAUCAAAAUUUUUAACCUACACACUUCAAAAAUACACAAAAAACCUUCCUUUCAACUUUUCUUCCUUUUCCUUCCCCACCAUAAGAAUUCGUGAUGCACGUCAUCGUAGUAAUAAUAUUCGAAUUCGGGUUCGGGUUUGGGCCAGGGUUGGGUCUACUAGGGUUUUGGAGGAAGUAGCUGUGGGGGACAAAGGGCGGUGGAGACUGGUGGUGGGGAUGAGGCCAUGGUGGCACUGGACCAUUAAAGAGCUGUUGGAAGGGGAGGGUGUGGCUGACAGCGGCAACAGCGAGGUCGCGAGGAAAAAUCCGGGCAGGCGACGGCUGGGGGAGUUGUGGUUGUGGCUGUGGGGAAGGGGCAUGCUGAAGCUGGUGGUGGUGGCAAGUGGGCGUUAGUGCUGGAGUUGGAGAAGGAAUUUUCCGCUGUCAACUAGCAGCGGGGCCUCGCUGCUACCGCCGGCCAUAGUUGAAGUAGCAGAGGACUAAAAGAGUUGGAGAGGCAGCAGAUACAGUAAUACUAGCAGCAAGCACUACAUGCCAUGGGUAGAUGGUGAAGUUGGAUGGGCAGAUCGGAUCAGAUUUGGAUUAGGAAAUUGCAAAGUAGUUUCCUUUCUACGAGGAGGAACUCCUCCAUUUCGAUUUGAGUUCUGCUCCUCCGCACAUCAACUUCUACUCGUCCACUUCUACGAGGCAAGAAAGGGAAAGGGAGAGGGAGAGGGAAAGGGAAGGGUGGCAAGGGAGGGAGAGGGGAAGAGAAAAAAGGAAAAAAAAAAUGCAGAAAGAAAGUUGCUGCCAUGGAAGUCUAGGGACAGGGAACAGGGGAGGGAGAAGAAGCGGGAAGGGAGGAAAGAAAAGGAAAAAGAAAGAAAGAAAAAAAAAAGAAAGAAAGAAAGUGAAAAGGAAAAAAAAUUCAUCUUACAAAAGUUUUUCUACAACUUCUACAGUGAUCUACAGUAAAGUUUUAUACAAACACCCAAAAAACUCACUUUCCAAACAGGCCCUUAGUUUUAGUGAGUUAAAUUACACUUAGAAGCUUGUAGCUUCAUGUAGGUAACUUUGGUUGGUUGAAAUUCAUGUGAGUAGGCUCUAUAAAAUCUCACAAUGAAUAUGUUGGACUGAUAUGGUGAUUUUGGAUAUUAUUGAUGUUGAUUAAGUGUUAAACUAGUGGAUUUAGGUUGAAAAGUGGAAAGAAAAAUCAAAGGAAACCAAAGAAAGGAAGGGGCCGAAUCUGCCCUAUUCUUGCCGCAGUCUUAAUUCGAUUUUUUUGUGAUCAAAUUAUCUUGAUUUUGAUGUAGAUAUGUUGUAUAGGUUAUGUGGAAAGUUUUCACCAAAAAUCACUUGAUUUGGUUAGGUAAAAGUUGCAUUUUCGAAAAUCCUUCAAACCUGGAAAACGUGUACAGAGGUACUCUGGUAGCGAACUUUAAACGAUCAUAGCUCUUUGCUCCGACGUCGCAAUUGAGUGUUAUUUGUGCAUUUGAAACUAGACACUUCCAGUUUUCUAACAGUAUAAAAUUCAUCCCCUGAUUCGACUUGAGUGAACGGUACUAGUUCUUCAAAGUUACCUGUCCUGUUUCACUGCUGUGCUAGAGAACCUGUGAUGUGCUGUGACUUGUUGUUUGAAUUUGAGCUAGCUAUGAACAGAAUUUCAAAAGGAUUUCUUCUGAGAAAUUGUAGCUCUAUAAAUUUAGUUUCCAAAGCUACCAAUCAUGCCCAAUUCCAAGUUGAAUUGACUGAGUUAUGGCCAAAUUACAGACCUGCACCAGAGAUAGAAAACCCUAAUUUUGGGCUAGCUGAUGGCUUAGCUCGAAUUGGGACUUGUUAUUUUGAAACUUUUGGUGUUAAUCACCUACCAAAAGUAUUUUGGAUGUUUCUUAGAUCUUUUCUUCAUAAAUGAAUUAUGUUUGAGAUGAUUUCAUUGGCCAAAUAUUUGAAAACGGAAAAUGGAAGCUUGAAGACAGAUUUGUCUUUGGAUUCCCUUGAUCUUUGGUAGUUUAGUUAACUACCUUCCCUUGUGAAUUUUCAAGUGAAAUUUGGUAGAGGGGUAAUCUGGAAAAUUGCCUAACAGUCUCGAUUUUUGGCCAAUUUUGAGCUGCUAUAUCUUGAUGCUUAAAACUCCAAUUUUGUUCUGUUUGUUAUGUUUUAAACUUUGAUUGUAACUCUAAUUGAGUUUCAAAUUUGAGAGGCUAUUUCAUAUUCUGUGAAUUUUUUCGAAUUUCCAAAGUUUGCCAAAAAUCAACCCCGAAUCUGUCUUGGAAAUACAAGUCAACAACUUCAAGCCAACAUUUGAGUGUCUUCCACUUAGAAUCAUAGAAAAAUGUCUUCUAGGAACUUUUAGUACUUCGGAACUAGUUUCCAACGGUACCAAGUUUUCCAAUUUUGGACCUACGAAGAGUGAGAUAUGAUUUUUCAAAGAAUGCACCUCAAAUUUGAAAUUUUGAAACUUGACGGGAAUUGAGUUUUUGGAGACUCUUUCCUAUCCUCCAAUACUAAUUGACCAUUUUGAACUUGUCUUCAUGAAGGAAAUUAGUUUUUCCUUAUGUUGUUAAACAUCACCUUCGAACCUUGAAUUUUGAGCAAUUAAGGGUCAUUUUCAUGAUAUUCUCUAAAAUUGUACAAAUGUGCAAUCUUUUUUGAUAAUUGGGGUUUCUAAGUAAUAGUGUGUAACAGAUAACUAUUGUUUGCUCAAACAUUCAAGGGGACCUUCGAGAAGACCUCACAACGGAUGCUUAAGUACUUGAAUUGUGCAACACACUCUCUUAUUUUGAUAAGUGAAUAUCAAGUAUAUGUGAACUUGUUACGUGCUUAGUUGUUAUUAGUAAUUGGAGAUUUUGAAAAUGUUGAGUCGAGUGUGUACUUUACCGCACUCGUUCUCAUUUGAAUGAAUAAUGAUUGAAUUGAUUGAAAUGAAAUGAAUGGAUUGAAGUGUAUUGAAUGGAUUGAAUGAAAUGAAAUGGUAUGCUAUGGCUGCAUACGUCGUUGGAGUGAAUCUCCUCGACUCAUAAAUGUUAAAUAGGGGACGUCCAAACUCAUAGGCCGACGUUGGACUCGAGCCGGCAUAGGAUUAGUCGGGAAUCUUGGUGAGCCAUGGGAAUGAAUGAUAAGCUUGAUCUAUUGGAGAGAUCUUACUUGGCUUACUCAUACAGUAGCGCCUUUAACGCAGUUCAGGCCCGGUUGGGGGUUGUAAGGUGGAAGGACUUGUGAAGUAAAGUAAGCUCUACGGACUUAAAAAUACCGACAUGGGUGAUGAAGUGUCAUCGUGGGAAGGUAUUCAAUCGAGAUUGGCAAAGCAAGUGAAAAUUAAUUCUCGAGAGCUACCAUAUCCUUGAAUUGUUUCUGUUUAAAUUUCACUUGAAUUGUUAAUUACUCGAAUAUUAUUGUUUUACUUGUUGGAUGGGAUUGUUACUUGAACAACGUGCUUGCAUGUGUGUUCUUAACCUCACAAGCAAUUACUCAUCCCGUAGAUUUGUUUUCCUUAAUAAGAACGGAUUUGGAGUAAAACUCGAAGAAACCUUUGGGAUGUACUUUUGUGUUAGAGUUUCAAAUGUAAUCGAUUAGACAUCUUCUGGCAAUGGUAUAUUUUGGGAAACUAAUGUAUUUUGAAGUUGCGAUGUAAGAUUGAAUAUUUAUAUAUGGAAGCAUCUGCAUUUUCUUACUUUGUCUUGUCGUUUUAGUUAUCAUUGUAUUAAAUUUGAACGAGAAUUGUAUCGAGUCCUAGCAAGAGUUGGGCAAGCGUCCCGCCGAUACCCUUUGGUUCGCCUUAGGGAGAAGUGAGGGCGUCACAUACAUGACACAUAUACAAAAUUUGGAUUUCAAAUUCAAAUUUGGAUUAUGUGUCAUGCAUCCAAAAGUGAAAGUGUAUACACUGUCAGUAUACUGUCAGUAUAUAGAAUAUUAAUCCUAUAAAUAAAUGUAAUAAAUUAUAUAAUCUAAUAAUAAUAAAUUUAGAAUAUUUGACAACUAAAAAUAACCUUUAUCCCAUUUCUAUCUAAGCAAGAAUCCACUUGCCUUAUUCCAAAGUUUCAAGACCAAUACAAGCAGACAGUAAAGUCACCAUUGCACGAUUAUCAUGCUUCACUCUUGCUCUCUACAUAUCAUCAUAAAGUACCAAGACUUCAUUAUACCUAACAAACCAGCCUAUCCGGUGAUCAAUGCAUUCCAAGAAAACAACAUCCUUCACAAACAUUUUAUCAAAAACCUUCCUUGCCUCAUUAAGAAGUCUAGAAUUCCUAUACCUUGAAGGCAUAAAAUUCCUAGACUCCAACUUCUUUACAAGCACUUCACUAAAGGUGUUAGGACACUGAUUUAGGAACACCAAACUCCUAGUUGAUAUUUGGCACAAACAAGCAUGUUAUGUGCUCUAUGCGUAUUCCCAAGUGUUAUAUAUAAAAUCUAAUUGAGGUUAUUAAUUUUCUUGGUGAUUUAUUUCAACGCUUUUCUUGUUUCAUUUUUUCCUUUUUCACUUUUUUCAGCUCCCUGUUUUAUUUUAUUUUUUGAAUUUGGCUUUGAUAUAUUGAAUAGAGACUUUUAGAAAAAAAAAAACAAAUUAUCACCAUGGGAGGUAUGACGACCCCACCUCCUCCUAAAGCAUAUCUAAGGGUUUAGCGGACCGCCUGUCCAACUCUCGUCAGGGCUUACUCACUAACAUUUUUGAAAUAGUCUUUCACGCCUCUAAAUUAACAUUAAAGUUCACAAUUCAACCAAAAAGUUUCAACUCCAAAAGUGAAACAUAGGGGUACAUUACCAAAGAUCCCAAAUACAUUCCAUGUACAAAAGUACAAGUACAUGAAGAUUAUACACUUCACGCUUACUUGCUCCGGCCUCCACUCCUGUAAGGAAAACAAAACUAAAGCAAUGAACUAAAAAUCCAGUGAAGUUCCCAAACAAGCAGUCAAGUAGGUAAAGCACAGAAAUAUUACAUUUAACACUUCACACACUUUGCACAGUAAUAAGUAGUCAUUCAAGAAACAGACAUUCAAUCAUUGGAAGGAUACAUGCUCACUUAGAGCCAUGCAUUCAGUCAUUCGUCCAUUUCCCUUAUACCUCCGACAUUUGAAAGCAUUUAAAAGUGAAAACUCCUUCAGUGUUCAUUCAUUCAGUCAUUCAUUUCAAUUAUUACAUUACAUUUACUAGCCAGUACUUCACCCGAUUUUGUGGUUAUACUCGAGUAUACCUAACACUGUCCCAAUGUCACCAACCGCCCGACUGUGUCAACUUCUGGCUCGAGUCGACUGGCAACGAAGAGCCAGAGCCCAAUUUAGCCAAAGGCUUACAUUUAUGCACAAGCAACAUUCAAUCAUUUGAUCAUUGGAAAUUCACAUUCACUUAGGUCGAGUGCGAUAAAGUACACACUCAUCCAUCGAAAAUCCAUUUAACAAUCAUUGAAAAGCAUUUAACAUUCAAGCAAACAUUCAUAACAUUCCACAUAGUCAUUGGAAACACAAACAUGCAAGGAACACUCACCAAUCAAUCGCAAUCUUUCACUUCAACCCUGGUUCAUCCUCUUGAACUUUCUCGAGUCCUAUCGUCAUAUACUAUAUUAAAAGAUUAGCAAUACAAACCAAAAUACAUGAAAAAUUUGAGGUUUCAAAACUUCAUUUAAAAAAUGUGUCAAUUUACAAGUUUUAUACCCAUAUAACUUAUCAAAAAUAUAAUAUUUUCUUGUUGAAAUCGAGGAGAAAAUCUCAUGUGCAUACUAAAUCAAUGUUGCAAGAGUUAUUUGGAGUACAAGAGCAUCGAUUGCAAUCAAACAUUUAAGGAAACUAAAACAAAACUUUCAAAGUGCAAAGUUGGGAAUUGUCCAACUAGAAAAUGAUUUGAAGAAACUCAUUCUUUCAUUUAAACCUCUUAUCUUGACUCAAAACUAACACAGAUGCAAAGAAAUAGAUUGUAACAAAUGUUUUGAAUUAAAUCAUAUGCAAGAGGAGAACAAAAAUGCCUUAGAUUCACACCUCAACCCUCACUUGACCAACAAGAAGAAAAUCUAGCAAUAUGUCCCAUAUUUCUUUAAGUUAAUCAUUCCAUUCAAAUUUUAGUUUCAUAGUAAGUGAACCUCUAUCAAGGCUACAAAACUAUCAACUUUAAACAUAUAUAUUAAGUUCCAACUCACUUACACCAAAGCUGAAUUUUUUUUAUCUCAAAGCUGGAAUUUCAAACCAAAGCUGGAAAUAUUCAUAUCAAAACUAAAAAUUGCAUACCAAAACUUGAACAUCUCCUAAUAAAGCUGAAAUUGACAUUCCAAGGGCUGAAAAUAACAUAAUAAACCUAGAAAUUGACCACUAAAGCUAGACAAAUCAUACAACAAAGCUAGAAGUGCAUAUCCAAGAUAGGUAUCUUCAUAUCAAAACUCAUAAGUCCAUAUCAAAGCUGGAAACUCUCAACUCAAGGAUAGAAAAUAUCAAUCAAAGCUGAAAAUUAACACUAAAGUUGAAAAUUCAAAUAUAAGAGCAAGAUAACCUCAUACCAAAGCUUAAAUUUCAUAUCCAACCACAUAUCAAAGCUGUCCAACACAUUCCAAAACUGAAAAUUGCAACCUAGUAAGCAAAACCAUGAAAUCUUCCAUGAAAUCCACUACAAUCAAGUCAUAUGUUGCUUAAAUUUCAAGAUAAGAAGGAAAAGAGAGAUUUUUUAAUGAUAUACCUCAAGCUCUAAGAGAAAUGGCACGACAUGAGCUGUUCUUUCUCCUAAAAACUUCACCUCAAACUUCCUUGCCACCUUGUUGCAACUUUCUAUGAAUUGAUUUAGGGUUUUAGGUUGAUUUCUUUCCAAAGCAAGUUAGAAAUCAAGAUGAAACUUCAAAGUAUUUUUUCUCUUUUCUCUCUUCUCUCUCUCAACCAAGAAGGAAAGAAAGUGAAGAAAAUUUUGCUUCACUAGAUGAUAAGGAUAGAAGAAAUGUCUUGGUCAAAGGUGACCUUGAUUGCCAACAUUUGACAUCCAACCAUUUUCUCUCUCUCUUUUUUUUCCUCUAUCUUUUUUUUUCCUCUAUCUUUUUUUUCCUUAAUUCAGCCAAAACCCUAGAAAUACAAGGGAGAAAUAAAUAAAAGGAAAGUAAGGAAAUUAAUGAAAGAAAGGUCUUGGUCAAGUAGUGUCUUUGACCGGUGACAAGUGGCGCGAGUUGGUUCAAACCUAUCACUUUGUCUCUCUUGUGUUUGUCUCUAAUCUCCACGAUAUCUAGGGUUUCUCCAAUUAACUCUUAACACCUCAUGUCCCAUAAUUUUUUUUUGCACAAAACUCUUUCUAAUUCACCAAAUUUAUUACUCACCUCACUAGUCGGUCACGCUACCUUAAUGUACUACAGAAUUUAGCAUGCACUAAAAUAUAAAAGGGGAAUGAUAUAAAUCUUGAUUCAACCAAUAAAAUCACCAUGAAAUUAAGGCAAGCAAAGUAAAAUAAAAUAAAAUAUAAAUUAAAUUUUUUAAAAAUAAGAAAAAAUAUAAAAUAAUUUUUCGAGUCCUCACUGGAGGAGCAGGGCAAGGCGGGCCGGGGGAUGGCGGGAAUGGGAGCAGGAGGAGUUUUUGGGCAACAAGCGGGGGACAGGGGAGGAGUCUCCUACCCGAAACCCGCCCUGUUGCCAUUUCUAGUCUCGACCUCUCACUUACACCUUUCUCCCCAUACCUUCCAAUCCAUCCUCCUCCCAACCAGUAUCUUAUAUUUAUAAGGAUUCAGUUGUGGUACGCUACCAAUCUUUUUUAAUUUUAAAUUACACAGUCUUAGUAUUAGCAACGACAUUCGAUCACGAUCUUUGUAAAAAAGUAGCAUGCCUUUACUAAUUGAAUAAAUAUGUAUUUGUACAGUUUCAAAUUUUGACUAAUGAUGUUGAACACUACAAAAUAGUUGAUAAUACAACUAUAAUUAGAGUUUGAGUCAAAGUUACGAAUGCGAACGAGUUGAGCUUAAUUGAAUAGUUUGCGAGCAUGGUCAAUCAAAAUUCGAGCAUGAACUUGCGUUGAUCGAAUUCAAGUUUGAGUUCGAGCAACUCGAAUAGCUUGAUGAGCUUGAGGUUAAGCUUAAUAUGUGAAGCUCAAAAGUUCAUCGAGCUUAAUCGAGUUUCAUAGAUAUAUGUUUUUUCUUUAAUUUAUUAGUGUGAAAUGUUUAUCUUGUCUUUUGUUUAAAAUUAUAUAAAAUAUGAAUUUAUAUAAUUUAAAUUUGAUUGAACUCAAUUAAAAUCAAUUGAAUUCGAAUUGAACCUGAUUGUGCUUGAUUUGAUCAAACUCGAGUUCCAGCUUGAGUAAGGCAAAACAAAAUCGAACUCGAAUUCAAACUCAACUUUCAAGAGUUCAACGAGCUUGAGGUCGAUUUGACUCGAUUACACUCCUAAUCAAAUAUAUAUGACCAAAUAUAAAAAUUCCAUGCUUUUUCUUAGCAAUUUUUCAUAUAUAUGUUCUUAUCUAAGUGUAAAAUUUUUCCCAUAAUUUGUAUAAAUUUAGAUGAUGGUGUGGUAAUUUUAGAGAUUUUUAAGUGAACAAAUGCUCUUUUCCUAUUUCAUUUUUUUUUUGGUAAUUUAUCUUUAUCUAGAAGUCACAAAAUGAGAAAACAAAGGUUCUACUUGGAUUGUCCAAUUUUUUAAAAACUACUUUGGGUGGGGCUAAAUCUACACUUCCACAAUCUAAAUCCAAACCCUUAUAACUAAGUUGACCAAAAAAACCCAUAGGAUUAUGGGGUUUGGUAGAAACUUUUUAAAUAAAAAUUAGUCUUUUUGUGAAAAUAGAUGGUACUGAUUUGGAUUUAAAAUUUACAUUAUUGUCAAUGGUCUUAAAAUUUUUAACAUUUUUUCAUUCACUUUAAAAGGGUGGCAAUCAAGUCAGAUUGUGGGUUGGUGUGUUGGAUUGAGAUCCAGGUAUCCUGGAUACACAUCAACCCGAAUAUGAUCCAAAAUUAAAUGAGUCCACUUUCUUGAUACGAACACGACUUGCUAAUUUUGGGAGUUACUCGAAUCUAACCUGAACAACCUAUUUGCUUAACUUUCUUUUUUUUUUUUCUUUUUGGCCUUCUCACGUUAUUAGUAUUGUCAACUUUUCUAUAAAAGAGUUUCCAUAAAAAUAUAAAAUAUUGUAGCCUAAUCAUAGAUUUCGUAUAUGGUGCUUGUAAUAAAUUUUUUAUUUUUCUUUUUGUACAAAAAAAAUCAUAACUAAAAACAAAACUACAACACUUUCAAAAAUAAAUAUCUUUUUUUCACAUAAUAUUCAUGAUUCCUUUUUUGAAAUACUAAUUUGCAGCCUUGGUUAGUUUUCUUUUUAUUUACUUUAUGCCUCUAAUUUUUUAUUAAAUUAUAAACUUACACAUUAAACAAGUCAAACAGGCAAAUGAGUCAACUCGUGUUUGACCUGAUUAGGACUUGUUUGCUUGGUGAGUUAUUUAGAUUUGACUUGAUUUUGACCCAAAAUGGUGAAAAAUAAAUCCAUACACAUUAAUUUCGUAUUAGAUUAGAAUUGUGUUGAGAAUUGCCAACCCUAACUUUGAUGGCAUUUAUUUUUUCCUCUUAUUGGUAGAGAGAAUGUUUUUAUCUUUUUUUUUAUCAUGUAAGAAGAAAUGAGAGAUUUUUUAAAAAUUAUGUUAAGAAAAUAUUUUCACUGUUUUGGCACGUUGCACUUCACAAUUUAUUGAAAUAUAAUUUUUAAAAAGCACUAGUGAAUAUAAUUAAAAUGGUCAUAUUAAACAAUUUCAAUUAAUUAAAAUUUGUAACUAAUUUUUUUACACAUUUCUUGUUGUAUGGAAAAACAAAUUUUUCUAGUACAUGCCCAAACCACAACCUAUAAAAAAAAACUGCAAUUUCCCAUUGCCUAAACAUAAAUGGGCCGAACCCAAAAAGUCUCGAAUAAAAGAAGCUAAAAGCUCAAGCCAUAAACUCUACAUUUGAAUUUACUGCCAAACUGAGAUCCAAACAACAUAGGAAAAGGAAACCACUACUUUCCUAAUACCUAAAGCAUCUAGAGUUUAGUAUUUAAUCACCACUCUCUAUUCAUUGUUCUCUUCACAAAAGAAACUACUAGCAAAAAUUAAGAAAUCAGUGAUCAUAUCAGCGGCUAGGUUCAUUCCUUGGUGCUUGAAGAAUAAGCACAGAAUUUCUUCUUUUCUUCAUCUUUGUCAGAAGUAGUCGUAUUUCUUUGAUCACCUAGUAAUAUAUCCACUACUUAUAUCAAGGGUUCUUUUGCAAACUCUCUGAUUUUACAAUUUUGGUUCUUCUAUUUGGUAAAAUUAGAGAUUUGAACAUCUAUCAUUCAACGGUUUGUUUCUGUUAUUACCAUCCAACAUGGUAGUUGUCAAGAAAGGCAUAGUUGGGAAGAAGAACAAUUCAGCAGAUAGAAAUUGACAUCAAAAAUUAAUGGGAGAAACAACAAAGGAGUAGCCCAAGCGCUAGUAGUUAUAGAUAGUCAUGAAAGGAAUGGGAAAAGGAAGAGAAUAAUGGAUACACUACAAAGGUUGUAACACAACGAGAAUAAGAUUGGUGCAAUUACUUUUAAGCCUAAGUAGCAGCAGCAAAAGGGUAUUCUGAUGAUUUCCAGUGAUCAAAACUAAUGCACAAGUCAAGCUAAUCGUGAUGACGAAUACAUUUUGAAGACAGCUUUAUAUGUUGCAAGGUUAACACCCUACUUUGCCGAAAUUAUUUCCAUAGCAAAAGCUGUGAAAACUAACAUCGAUCAAGGAAGGGAGAGAAACAAGGCAAAGAAGAAGAGGCACCGAGAGCAGCUAAGGAAUUGAAGAAGAAAAAAGCUAAAUUGAGGCAAAAAGAAAGAGAAGUUGCCUUACAAAUGAUGGAAAGCACAAUUGAUUUUGAAGACAAUCUCAUGAUUGCAAGGAACUUGAGCAAUUAAGUCAGUGUUCUCCCUAUUACAUUGUCUAUGGACGCAAUGGACCGGCAAUGAUGGUAUUGAGAGGUUUAAAGAUUGGCAAAGUUUUACACAAUUUAGAACAGCUUGGCUUGCACUUGAAGAAGGAAUUCAUAGCAAUGGAUGAUGAUGAAGAUGCAUAUUUGAGUUGCUCGGAAGUAGAAGAAGGAGAGAUCAUCGAAUACUCAUAUUUUGCAAUGAACUUGAAUUCUUGAUCUCUAGUUGUUCAAAUUGUUAACUUUUGUUCAUAACAUGAUGUAAUGUACUUGAGCUUAAUUUAGUUGCAGCUCUAAUUUCGUGUUUUGUAUUAUUAAUGUAAGAGUUUGUAUUGCUAUUGAAAUCCAAUUCAGUAAAUAUAUGAUUUUACUUAGAGACAUACCUUGAUUUUGUGGUUAAUUUCUAGUUUGAUUUCUUUUUAGAAUACAUAUGCAUAUAUAAACUAUUGUACAAAGUAUUUCUAGGUGAAUUUCAUCAAACUUAUUGUAGUAUUGGAAGAAAAAUGGAAGGUAAACUACUUUUGUUGAAUGAUAUGGACAGGCCUAUCUCCAAACUUUGCUUUUGCUCAUGUUUGUUGUUAUAAAUCCUAUAUAAGGAAAAGAAUAUGAAGUUUUUGAAUUUAAGUUCAACAACAAAUUUCCACACUUCUAGCAGUUAAACUCUGACCCAAACUUGAAUAUCACCAUAAAAUAUGACAUGCGUUGAUGAAGUCAGAACUCGAGUUUAGACUAGAUUUUCAUUGAUGAGUGAAUUCAAUAGAUUUGUGUGUAAUUGAUAGUUCAAUUUUCACUUAAAACCAAAUCGGUAAUUCAAGAUAAAUGCAUUUUCUUAUUUCGUGAAAGAACGAUAGAAAACAAAAGAUUGUAGCUAUGGAUAAAAGAUAGGUAUAUCUGGUGUAUUUCAAAUUCCUGAGAAUAAUGAAACACCUAAGAGUCAUCUUGAAAUCAUGUACUAAUUGCUGCCAUCACAAGCUGCCAAUCAGCUGUAAAGUGUUUUGCUAUACAUGACCUAAAGUGUUCGAUUAAACUACCAAGAACAAAUAUGGAAUGAAACCUUAGUAAUAUGCCAUAUCAAUCAACCCACAAGAUGUGUUAGCAAUACCUAGGUGAGCAAGGGAUGGAGAAGAAGCAUUUUAGACAUGCAUGUGAUAUGAUCAUCCUUUAUCCCUUUGACAGUUAUUAAAAAAUGAAUAUUGGAAAUUAGAAGAAGAGGACUACUCAUAGCCGCAAAAGUUGCCAAGAAGCAACUUCUUCUAGUUCAAUUUAUAUUGGUAGAGUUUAGGCAUUACCAGUUUGACUAUUACCUGUACAAAUGUCGUGUUGAAUGCCGAGUGACCCCUUUUUGCUAAUUCCUUUUUGGUGUAGACUACAAAAGCUACCCCUUUCUACUACAUAGGUAAUGCUUGUAAAGUAUGCUGGAUCGACUCAUUGCACACUUGCACCUAGCACUAUGACAAAUGCAAGUUCCCCUUUUGUGUUUUGUUAAUUAGAGUAAACUUCAUCAGAUGGUGGUAAAGUAACCAUGCUAGUUGGGGUGAAAAGAACUCAUGAAUUUUGUAUCCAUUUGUAUGCCAAACUAGCAUACUUUUUGAAUAGUCUGUAUUACAUGGUGCAAUUUGUUUUAGUACAUAGAGAACCAAAUCCAUUUUAACUUCUUGAUUCGGAAAAUAAAAAGGGUUUGCUUUUAUACUCUAAUUAUAGACUAGAGCAGUUAGAACAAUCUAGUUGUUUGAACUUUUUGUACUGCUUCUGAUCAUCAAGGUAAUUUCAGGACCAGGAAUUCUCCCAAAUACCUCUGCAGCAACGUCUAGUAUAUUAUAGUGGCUCAGCACCCAUAUCCAGAACACAAGCAUUAUAUCCAAUCUCUUUUGCAUUAGUUAUCCAUUUAUCCCGUACCAUGGUUAUCAUAAUUUUUGGAAGUCAAAUUGAUAGCAAUUCUCAAAUCCUCUCACAUUCACCCAACCAGAAGAUGAGAAUACUUAGUUGGCAGACCAAAGAUUGCCUUCACAACUAAAGCUGGAGAGGUAUUUUCAGCCAUAUCAGCAACUAGAGAUGUAUGUUAAGGUACCAAUCGUAGCAGCUUAAUAUAAACUUUUGAGUGACAGUCAGCUUUAUCAUUGUAAAGGUGUGGAUCAGGCAAUGAUAUAUUCACAUGUCACGAGAAAAAGCCAUGCAAUUUAUUCAAGCAUUAGACAUUUAGCAGAGUUUAAUGCCACUGCACUUGCAAAGUCUUCCUAUUUCACCACAUUGUCCUAGAGGUACCCAAAUGAUUUUCAUAUCGAAUAUUGUUUCUUGAUCUAGUAAACAACAACUUUGUUGAGUGUUUUCUCCCAUUACAGCACCAUAGGCUGCCCAUCACUUGAAAGAAUAUGGAUAAUGUGGAUUUGAAUAAAAGAUGCAAAUCUAUUAUCUAUUAGACAAGAAAAUCAUUGAAACUGAAUGAAAGUGAGUGGAACAGAACAUAAAUAAGCCUAGCUAUAUGUCCUCAUAUGUGCAAAACAAAUAAACAAGUGAUCGAUCCUAUGCAAAAAAACACCAUUUUCUGCUACCCAAGUGGAGUUUGAGCUUGUCAUCUCACUAGAAGAUUGAGUUAUGGAUGGUUCAAUUCUCUCUGAGCUUUGUAAACCUGAAGCUUCUGGACCAACAUUUUCAGAAGAUAGGUCUCGUUGAUGAGAAAUUUCAGGCAAGCCCUCCUAAUUUGUUUCAGAUUGGUAGCAGUCUUCAGCAAGUGGCCCUCUGGUAUUGUUUGCUAGUUGGAGUUUUUUCUUGCUUUUUUUCAAUUGAGUAUGAUAAUAAUUUUGUAUUUGAUUAUCAUAUCUUCUUGGUAAUUUUGCUGCAAUGGCUGACCAUCUGUGUGGGUAGCGCAAAAAUUCAAAUGCAUAUAUAAGAACUGAGCCGCAAUGUAAAUUUAUGCUGCAUGAAGUUUUGUUUCAAGUACAAUCAUGUGCCCUCUAGUAAGUAAUACGAGCUUGCAUGAAGGAAUUUGCUGCACUAGCGAUUUACACACACAUUCAAAGAUUGUAUGCUAGUUUCUCAAAAAUGAUUCAUUUGAAUAUAUUUGUGUGUGUUUGAUGGUUCAAUUUUCACUUAACCCAAAUAAUCUGUCAAAGAUGGAGUUGUUUUCUUGUUUUGUGAAAGAGCAGGAGAAUAAGAAAAACUACAAAGCAGUAUCAGAAAGAGCAGGAGAAUAAGAAAAACUACAAAGCAGUAUCACGAUGCAAGAGCAAUUGGUGAGCCAUGCUACACAAACACAAUUGUGCAAUACAUAUGCGAGUACUAAGAAUAUUAAGAAUUAGCGUCAAUUUCGCCAGGUUAUUUGAUGUCAAGAAAGUUAUUACGAAAGAUUGUCCAGGCAAUGAGAAAAAGAUAGGUUAUUUGGUGUAUAUCAGACUUUUAAACUCAAUUACGGAUUACUAGAAUCAUGAGAUGACAAUCAGCUCUGAAGAAUUCUACUAUUAUGCAUGGCUGAACAUUUUGUAUUAAAUUGCCUAAGAACAACCAUUGAAUGUGGAGGCACAUGAAUAUGCAUCAUAGGUUUGAUUGUAAAGUAAUUCGAGUAAAAUACCAGAUGACUUGGAAGUGUAUUUGAUUUACAUAAGAGGUUCAAACAAUAACCUGUCCACAAAAUACUGUGACAAAAUCAGUUAACGCUAUUGGCUUUUUCGAGUUUGGAGGGAAUAAUUUAGCAUUAACAUCAUGAAAGUAACCAAAAUGGACAUCUCCUUUAUUUCUAUACUCUCGGUAAGCUUGUUCUCAAGAUCUUGUGGCAUUUCAUUUGUUGCACUAAAUCCUUGAAACAAUAUUGUUGCAUCAGCAUGAUUCAAGUUGCCUUGGUUAUGGAUUACCCAGGUUUCCAUACAUAUUCAAUUCGAAUUUGGUUCCUUUUUUGCAAUUGAUGCCAAGCAUUGGUCAACAUGAUACAUCCUCAAUUUGCAGUCGCAAAUUCCAAAUUGCAAAAUAUCUAUAUAUAUAAUAAAAUAAAGGGAAGGGGUAUCCUAUGCUCUCUACUAGUACAUGUCUCUCUAUUUAUCUUUUUUUUUUUGAAAUAGUCAAGAAAAUUUGAAGUCUAAUGGAAAAAACUUCUGACAAUUUGAUGACUGUGUUGGUUUCCUCAUAAUGCUUGUAGAGGCACAAAAGGAAAAGGGAAGUUUUAUUAAUGGUUGAGGAAUGCCUUUCACAGUCCGACAAUAUUGUAAUUUGAAUGUAGGAGGGGUUUGUGGACGGGGGGUGCAAAAUAACCAAGCUACUCGAGCUCGAUUGAGGAGUUUAGUUAAUAGUAGAGUUCAGAGCAUUGGAUUCAUAUACUCAAAAGCUUGAUGAGUUUAUUGAAGUAGUUACAUUUAAAUUAUAAGUAUUACUAAAUUACUCUUUUAACUAUGUUAUUUGUGAAAUUUACUAAAAAAAAUCUCAACUUGAAACAUAGCAAUACAAGCAGAGAAUGAACUGAAAUCGAAUUCAAGUACUAUUCUAACCUCAUCGAGUUGAGCUCGAGCUUCCACUCUCAUGUUUCUUCGAGUUCGGCCACACUUUUCUGGUCAUUGAGUUCAAACUUGAAUGUAGUGAUAUUCGAUCUCAACUUAACUUUAAUACAUCCUCUAGGGGGAAGAGUGGAAUUUCCAUAGACAUAAACCAAGAAAAAAUUAGCAAAUUAGCAACAGAAAAUGCAAAUCUAAAACCUACUUUCAAGUGGGCUUCCAGGAGAGGGACCAAAAAUCCCACCCUAUAAAAUUCUACAUAACUAAAAAUGGAAGAAUAGUCAAUUUCAAGUUCCACUAUUAAUAGCAGAUUUUCACCACUUACCACCUGGUUCGGAUGGUCACCGAAAUUAGGAAUAUGUUUACUUACCAAAAUGUCUUUCAUGUUCCUAGCCCGAUAUGCCCUGAUCAAACUUAUUAGGAAGUAUCGGUCACAUUGAAGGAAAGAAACAUCAAAACACCAAAAUAUGGUUAUUAUAUUUACGUGUAUCAAAAAGUAAAAAUCAAUCCCUUUUUUGGGUAAACAAUCUAUUCCAACAUUAAACUUUUGAAUUGAGACAAAAACAUAGAGCUUUGGGUAUGUUAUAUUUGUGAAUUAAUUCGUAUAAGUAUAUUAUGGAAACCAAUUGGGAGAGACUAAAAUUCACAUCCCAUAUAAUCAUUGAACAAGAAUACCCUUAACUUUUAAGUUUAUUUGAUUCUUUAAGUGUUUCAAGAAACAUAUAUUUAUCGAGCAAAAAGUGAAAAAAAAAAUUUACAUCACAAAAGAGAAUAUUUUCAGACAUUUUACAAGUGCAUGUGAAUAUUAUUUUUAAUUUAAAAUUUCAUUUAGCAAUCUAGAUUUUUCAAUUAUGAACAAACAUGUAAAAGCACCACAUAUAUAUUUCAAUUCCAUAAAAUCAAAAUCUAAGCGAUUUUCAAGAUAGAAUAUACAAACAUAUUGACAUCUCCAUAUUCAUAUCCUCCACUUGAUUAUCUAUAAAUUAGUGUUAAAAGAAGUUCAACAAAAAAAAAAAGUAGUAGUUCAUAUAAGGAAAGAGGGAAAAAAUAAAGCAGCUUUAGAGAAGCACAAAUUCUGGAAUAAAAUAAAUAGUGGAAGGAAUUUCUAUAUAGAACUAAACAUAAAGAUUAACAUAUGGAUUUUUUUUCUUUAGAAAAGAUAUCGUUGUUCCCUAUUGUCAUAAUGUAAAAAGAUAACCUAAAUACCAUAAAAUGUUUUGUUUUAAUGUAUAAAACCUUAAGGCAUUAACGUCCAAUAAAAGUAUGGGUCUGUCUAUAGGGUGUUUAUUGAACACUCAUUAAGAUAUAUUUCAGGUGUCAUAUUUUUUAAAAUAUAAAAUUAAUUAGAGAAAGUAAAUAAAUACAAGGAAAGGUAGAUAAGAUUAAACAGGAAAAGUAUAUAAAAGUAAGGAAAUGCAAUAAUUAUUAUAUAUAUAUAUAUAUAUAUAUACACAUGAUAAGUUAGGUGUGUUAACAAGUGUCUAAUUGGCAUCCAUUAGAAAAACCCUAAAAGCAUAUGGUGUGGAUUUAGCUCCUCCCAACUACUUUUUAUUUUUGAAAUUUACAGUAACAAACUCUAAAACAUUUCCAAAAACACAAAUAAGUAAAUAAAUAAUCUAUUAUCUCUUCUUUCUCCCACCCACUACCCACCACUACCAUAUCUCCUUCUCUACCGCCAUCACUGCCCCUUCCCUUCCCUCCUCCUCUCUCCUCUCUCUCCUUUCUCUUUCCUCCUCCUUCCCUUCUUCCUUCAUCCUCUCAUCCCCUAUCCUGCCCUUCCCUGGCAAGCCCUCCUCCCCUUCCUCCCUAUCUAAUUGGGAUCAUGACCACGACCAAAGGAAAAAAGAGAGGAAGGUGUUGCCUGGCAGCCCCCUCCCUUCUCUCUCCCUUUGGUUGCAACCAUGAUUAGAGGAGAGGUUGCUGAAGAAGAGGAAGAGAAGAGAUGAGAGAGGGGAGGAAGGAGAGCAAAGAAAGAAAGGGAGGAAAAGGGAAGAGAGAGGAGGUUGGAGAAGAAGGGGCAAUGGAGGAGGGGAGAUGGCAGCAUUGGAGAGUGGAGGUGGUUGAAAAAUUUUAAUAAUUAUUAAUGCAAGGAAAGGUAAUAAUUGUUAGUAUAUAUAUAUAUAUAUAUAUACAUGAUAGGUUAAGUGUGUUAACAAAUGUCUAAUGGGCACCCAUUAGAAAAAUCCUAAAAGUAUAUGGUGUUAAUUUAGCUCCUCCCAACUACUUUUUAUUUUUGAAAUCUACUGUAACAAAUUCUAAAAAUAUUUUCAAAAACACAAAUAAGUAAAUAAAUAAUCUACUAUCUUUUCCUUUUCCCACCUACUACCCACCACCACCACCUCUCCUUUUCUACCGCCACCACUGCCCCUCCCCCUUCUUCCUCCCUUCUCUCUUCUCUUUCCCUCCUCUUUUUCCUCUUUCCUCCUUCUUCCUCUCCUUCCUCUCUCUUCUCUCUCCCUCCUUUUUCUUCGUCCUCCUUUCCCUUCUUCCUCCCACCUCUUCUCCCCUACCUUCCCCUUUCUUGGCAACCUCUCCUCUCCUACCUUCCUAUCUAAUUGGGGUCGCAACCAUGACCAGAGAAAGAGAGAGGGGAGGGGGUUGCCUGGUGGCCCCUCUCCCCUCUCUCUCCCUUUGGUUGCAACUACAACCAAAGGAGGUUGUUGAGGAAGUGGAAGAGAAGAGAAAAGGGAGAGGAGGUUGGAGAAGGAAGGGCGGUGGAGGAGGCGAGGUGGCGGCAGUGGUAGGUGAAGGUGGUAAAAACAUUUUAACAAAUUUAAAAAAUUCAUCCAAUAAAAUUUUAAAUUUUAAAAACAUCUCAAAAUCAUCCUAAGAGCACCUAAUCCAGACUAACCAUCUACAGUUGAAAGUUUUCAAAUACAAUGUUAUAAUAAAUUUUUUAAAUAUACCCCUAAAAAUACCUAAUUCAUAAGGACCCAAAGUUUUAUAGGAUUUUUUGCCAUUGACAAAUGUUCUAAAUUAACUCCCACUAUUUCCCAUAAUUUUCAUUUUUUUCAAUUUUUUUUUAAAUUUUUGGUUUUUAAGCAAAAUACCAUCAUGGCAAAUUCCAUGACCUUUUAGUAACUAUCAUCUUCUAAUAUAUAACCUCCAGAACGUCUUAUGUCUCUUUAAGUUCCCUUUUUUGUCAUCUUUUAUGAUAAAUUAAUUUUUUUUGUGGAAAUUGCACGAAUGAAUUUAAGAGCAAUGUAGCAAACUUACUAAUCAAACCGUAUAAUCCUACCAAUACUGCAUAUGGAUAGUCUAGCCCAACAAAUUACUCAUGUCCUUCAUCGAAUUACCUGCAAGUAACCUUUAGCCGGUAUUUAAUCCUAUUGAAUAUGCCGUCAAUUACACAAUCAUGUUUUGAAAAAAUCUAUAUAAUCCUUUUAGCGUAUCAUUCCCUUUAAUCCUAUUGAAAAUGCCAUCAAUUACACAAUCAUGUAUUGAAAAAAUCUAUAAUCCUUUUAGCGUAUCAUUCCCUUUAACAAGUAUCUCUUAAUGAUGAUAGUAGUUUGAAUUUUAAAGUUUUAAAAUUGUAACGUUACUAUAUAAGGAUCAAAAGACACUUAUUUCACCAUCAAGGAUGUAUUUUAUUUGAACAAAUGAUACCCAAAAAAAGCACUUUAGAAUCUUCCUCAAAUUUUACUAUACCUACAAGUAUAGCUGUUAAUCUUGAGCCAUAUGCAUUGAGUCAUCCAAGUCGACCCGUGAAUAAAUGGUUUUGGAUAACCUAUUAUUUCCAAGUUGAAUCUAAUUGGGUAACCCAAUUAGACCCAUUUAAAAAAAGAGUAUAUGGCAACACCCAAAAACUUUUUUUGUUGUCACUAAAAUUCAAGAACCUUUCUAUGCCAUUACUUUUAUCCAUAGUUAUUAAACUUGGUCCAACUCAGUAGUCGAAUCAUUCAACCCGGUGAACCGGUUAUUGGACCGGGAUGGGCUUCUAAUUGAACAGUUUAAGCAUAGAACCUGUUGAUUGGCUAAUGAUCUGACAGUUCAAUCGGAUUAAGCCGUGAACCUGGCCGAUUUUGUCAACGAAGUGGGAUUGUGAAAAAAAUUUUAAUAAGCUCUUGUUAAAAUUCAAACUUGAGACCUUAGGCAUAUAACUAUAGUAUACUCAUCACCAGACUACUUGUUAUAUGUUAGUAAAGUAGCUUUCUUAUAAUAUAUGAACGUUUUGUCAAUUCUAUCCUUUUUUUAUUUCUCUAAAACAAAUUUUUUUUUUUGGAAAAUGGAUUUAAAAAAAUAACGUAUUACAUAAUUCAUUUUAAAGACAAAUAUUAUUUUUAAUAAUUUUUUGACCUUAAAAAUUUGUAAAUAAACUAGAUAAUUACAUUAAAUACGGAUAAAAUUUUACACUUGAAAUUUUGUGGAUUACUAAUAAAUUUAUGUUUUAUUAAUUCUUAUAUGAAUUACUUAUUCUACAACGAAUUAAAUUAAAUGAGCAUUUACUGUGACAUUGUUUAUUACAAUUUAUAUCAUAUGUUUUAUAUAAAAAAUAUAAUAUUUAAAUAUAUUGGAUGGUACAAGUUCAACUAGUACCACUCACCCACUGGUUGAACUAAUGACCCGUUGAUCCACCUCCUUCAUCGAGUUACUUCUUGAGCCGGAUUUAAUAACUGUGCUUUUAUUAGUUAAAGGUCCUCUGUGCCAUUAUUUAUAUCAGUAAAAAGUGAUGAGAUAAUCUAACUAAAAAAGUUAGAAGAGUUAAUAAAUGGAUAAUUGGGCAACUUACACCCAUAUGACACCCAACCCAUUUGAACGCAUUUACUUAAUAGAUAUAAUAAGGUUAAUCCAUUUAUACCUAACACCCAAUUCAUCUAUUUUGACAGCUACACCUACAAGUAUCAAUUUUUAUUGAUUUUGCUUCCAAAAAUGGCUUGUUCCCUUAGUUGGAGGAUUAACGAGGCAAUGCAUGACUAUUGUAUGCCGAUGAUAAAUUAAAAAAAAAAAAGUCCUACUGAUACUCGAUGGUAUUGUUAAUUUGCUCCUCAAUGUACACAAAUUUAUUGCCCCUAUGGAUCACAUACGGUCACGUUUAUUACCCUGUGUAUAUCGAUAUAUCCAUGAUUUAACUUUACCAAAAAUCUUAACACGUAAAGCUCCUCUUAUCAAGUACCCGUUUGGCAACCCGUAAAACAAAAAAUUGUAAUUCCGUCCAUGGAAAAUAUUCGAAGUAAAAUUUCAAAGGAUGGGCACAUUAUGUAAAAAAGAGAGACAGGGCAUUGCCGUCUCCAUAAGGUGCAAAUUUAACAACAGCCACAAGACAGUAUUAAAACAAGCUUAAAUACCCACGCACAGGGAUUAGGAAGAAAGUACAUAUAUGCAAAGCCAUGGGCUGGUGUCCUGAAGGUCUACCCCGCAGUAAGGGAAUUUUGGAGUCCAAAAUGCUCCUGGCCGCAGAGCACCAAACAGAAACAAUUUGCAAAGAACAGAAAAGGCUAGAGCCCUUUCAAUCGAAAUUUCCUGCAGCUGCUCCAGUGGAUGGACUAGCAUCACAUGCAUGAUAGAUGCAGCUAAUAGGGACCUACAAAGCACCAAAUAGCAACCACAAGUGAAGCUGCUUGGCUGAUAGCGUACAAAAGGAUGAUUCCUUCUACACUUUGCAAACAAGUGCAUAAAGAGAAUAAUCUACCAAGAAACUAAAAUAGUGGCCAUGACAAAAAUGUGCACGAGGUUAUAAAAUGAAGAGUCCAAAAUAUAGCUAUUCUUACCAUCUAUUAACAGAGCCCAAGGAAAGCUGCAUAGUCAGAAUCCAUGUCCCAGAGAGUGAAGUCCUCAAAAUCAUCAAAAUAAUAAUCAUAGUCAGAAACAUCAAAGUCAGAAAUCCCAGAGGAGUAGACAUCAAAUGAAUCAGAGUAAUGAAGUCCUUCACAGUCAUCAAGUUCUUCAUCAAACUCAUAAUCUGCCGUGGAGUCAUUAGGGAGCCUCAGAUGUGUAAUUUCUUGAGAGCAUCGUUUUCCUAGAUCACCAUCCAGGUUAACAUAAUAACAUUUCCGAAGAUCUAGUGAUUCCAGUUUUGCACAGUUAUCAAGAAUAGCUUUCAAGCCUUCAUUUGUCAUCUUAUUUCCCAAGAGAUGAAGGUGGUGUAAUCCUGGCAUGGUUUUUGCAAUAGCAGCUGCCUCCUUAUCACAUUCUUGAUGUGGCAGUUCAUUGCUUCUCGUGUUUAUUGUAAAUGACUUUAACAAAGGGCAAGAGCAGCCAACUAUUUCAAGGGCUUCACUGGGCAUGGAGAUAAAGAAAAGGUGCAGCUCCUCCAACAAAGGUAAUCUUUUAACAGCUUCUGUCAAACCUUCACCACUUAUACUAUCACAAAAGGCAAGCCGAAGGCGCUUAAGCUUGCCUGACCUGUAUAAAAGUUGCAAAGACAAAACAAAGGCAAGACAUUAAACUGGUUCCAUUUACAAAUUUGCAUAGGACAACAUUCAUGGUAAGCAAACUUUUACAUGGUUCAGGGCUUGGUGGCAAGCAAGGCCCUAAGAAAUAUAUUAAUGGGCAUAGGAAAUUGAUAAUUAUAUUGUGAUUCUUCAGUUAAAACCUGACAUAAUCCAAAACAACAUAAGGCCGCAUGUGCAAUCUCGUAUUAUGCCGGAUAAAAGAAAAUAAGGUUACUAUAAAUGGGGAAAAUGCAAAAAGUUGUAUAAAGAAUUUAGACAAGAAAAAAAAGAAAAGAACGGUACUACCAAAAGAAUAUAAUCUGUAAAGCUAACUAUAACAUGACAAGAAAUUUACAUUGCAGCUUGAAAUUGCAAAUAGGCCAUGCAGGGAAAAAAAUAAAAAAGAAAAAGGACAUUGUAGAUAUACUUUGACAACUAGAGAAAUCAAUUGCAAUUACUUAUACCUGAUCAUGAUUGUUGAUUCCUCAAAGGACAACCUAUACAGAGGUUAAUUAGACUACCUUAUUCAUAAUUACAGAAACCACCUGUUCGUUUUUUGAAAAUAAAGUAACUCACCUUAAAGUUUAGUAUCAUAGAUUAGCAUGAAGUCUUCUUGGAAUCUAAAUAACCCAUAUGAGAAAUAUUUUGGAGCAAAUCAGUGGGGAAGCAGAGGUCCUUUUCUUCUUCUUCAUUUUUAAUUUUUUUAAAGCUAGGAGAUGUAGUCAUAUCCUGAAAAGAAUUACUUCAUCUAAAUUAUAAAACAUAGGCAGACAGCGGAUGUAACUCUGUUUUGGAGAGGCACAAAAGUAUAAUUCCAAAGAUGCCAAACCUCAUAAAGUGAUUUACAGGCGAACCUUUAUAAAAUGGUUUGUUCUUCCUGGAUGACAACCAACACUACAGACAAUUGGGUUCACUUCUCCAUCCAAGGAUAUGCAAGGUUAAUCUAAAUCAACCACCAAAUCAAGACAUUGAACAGGUAUGGGAUAAACUUUCUGAGAACGCCAGCAACAAAUGCUGUCUACCAUUGAAGAAUUAAGUCACAACUCUUUGGCUCCUAUACAUGACACAGGGGGAAAUCAAAGAAUUAUGCCUGUGAAAGUCAGAACAGCUUUUGCCCAUAGACAGGGAUACUCAUUAUGUUCCACAAUCUCACCAAACAAGAUUUACCACCAACAGUGCAAUAAUAUAACCAAUCAUCAUCAAAAUCACCAUAGAGUCAACUGUAUAACUGUCAAUAAACUAGGCAUACUGACCAUAACCUACAAGACUAACAGAAACAAAAUCAAGGCAAAAGCUCAAGGUUUUAAGCCUCAUCAACAAAGUAGAGAGAGAACGGUCAGCAAGGAGAGAUUUCAUCUCGGCAUCCAAGUACCAGGAAACAGUAUUAAUCUCAAGAACACACUACAAACGUGUAGGGGAAAAAAUGAAAAGAAAAUGCAACCAUUCCAUUUUGAAGAUGUGUUAAAAAGAACUAAUCCAAUUGCAAUUUAAAUUAAAAGGACAAAACAAUAUUAAAGAAAAUAACGGCUCUGUUUGGGACCCCUGUUUUUAGGGUGUUUUCAAUAGACAAGCUUUUUUACAGCUUUGUCUACAGGAACCCUCUAAAAACACCCCAACUUUUUAAAAUACACACAUCGAAAUAUCCCAAAACACACAGUUUUUUCUUUCUAUCCUUUUCUUCUUCUUCCUCCUCUAAUGCUGGCACCACUAUUUGAAGUAACUUUGCUAACAAAGGGACAAAGGGACUAGCACUAAGCAUCAACAACAAGAUUCAGAAUGACAGCUCAUGACUCCAAGAGUGCUUCAUAUAUCAUAGAACAUAGACAACAUCUCAAUCCAGGUCAUGCACAAUACAAAGUACGCACUGCUAAUGGACCACAAAACAAGCCCAUUGCUCCAUUUCACCUCAUACUCCCGAAGUUAUGGUACCAUUUUUAAAUGCUUAUCAAUUGAUUAGUGCAAUGAUACACAAAAAUUGCGCACACUCAAUGAAUCACAAUUACCAUGGGACAGAAAAAACAAAAUGCUGAUGUGGUACAUUAUCACUGGCCAGUGUACCACAAAGAAUCCUCCUCAAUUACUCAAAGGGAAACUUUUCAAAAAUUCUGUGCCUCAAAACUUAAUUUGCAAAGAAGCCGCAAUUUUAAACUUUGCAGCACAAUUUACAUUCAAGCAUAUAUUUCUGUAGAAAUAUAUUGCUACAAAGUAAUUUACAUUUUAUACAAAAUUCAGCAUCAAUGCACUUCAUAAUAAAUGGACCCAAAUUACACCUUCUUUACAAAUUAAGAUAUGGAGCACCAUUUUCACCAAUUUUUCCCUAGAAUGAUUACCUUUAUCCUUACUCUAACCUCCCUAAAUAUUCAAAAAUAACCCUAAUUUGCAUAAAGCUAAUUAAGUUAAACUAAACCAAAGUGCAACAAACUCAUAAUCCUGCACAUAAAUUCAGAUACAAAUCUAAAUACAAAUGAAAAUUCAAGUUUCAUCAACAAAUCUACCUUUCAGCAAUAUACUCAAGCAAUUCAUCAGUACCAAUAGACCCAAUGCUGAUAUCAACCAACUGGCCCUGGCUCCGAUCCACAGCGUGCUGGACCAUGAUUUCCAUAUCGUAAGGCUCAUCCUCGUAAUCCGCACAAUCAUACAUGUCAAUCACUCGCCACAUGGCAGGAUCAAGGCAAACACUGCGCCAGGUCGUACACACUUUCUGUGCACUCUCCAGUAUAUCGACUACCGACAGUCUCUGCAAUAUGUUGGCCGUUAUGUCCCGUGGCAGCUCUGUCCACGGCGGCGGGGGAGGCCGGGCCGAUACUGAAGUGGAUGCUGAUGAACCUUUUCUUCGCCAUACUUGUUUGAUUUUGAGAUUUUUCUUUCUUCCUAUCAUGUUUAGGGUUUCAGUGUCCCGAGUAGAAAUUCAGGAAAUGGUUGGAAACUUUUCGCAUUGACGGAUGGAGUCAGGGUCUUCUGGUUUUGGAACUGUAGGAGUGUGAAGUAGCAUUGCUAAACUAAAGCACUGUUUGUUUGACGGGGGAAGACGCGCAAGAAAGUUCGUCCUGGAAAAAGUAAAAUGAAAUGAAAUAAAAUAAAGAAAAAGGAAAUUAAUUUUUUUACGUGUGUUUGGUUAAUAAGAAAAUGAUGCAAGAAAAUAUAAAUUCUUGUGUUUGUUUAGUUAGAAAGUCACAAAAAAAUUGGCUAGCAUAUUCUUUUUUGUUUGUUUUUUUUGUCAAUACGUCAAAGUUACACACAAAUUAGAUUAAAAUUGGUUAAAACACUUCAAGGGUUGAACCUAAAGGGGACCUAUAAAAAACAUUCAUCCAAUUAAUUGGUGACAGGAAGGUGCUCCUAUGGACCUUAAGUCUAAGGGCACUACCUCACACACUCUCGAUAUGGGAUGAAACCAUCCUACCGUCUCAGCCGGCCUCACGCACACAUGGUGACUUUUUUUUGUCAAUACGUCAAAGUUACAUACAAGUUAGAUUAAAGUUGGCUAAAACACAAUAUACAAAAAAUGGAAAUCUUCAUUUUUUGUGUUUAUAAUUAAUAUAUGUAAAAACAUGUAAUAAUUAUAACAUUUUGCAUAUUGGAAGAGUUGUUUACCUGAAAAUUAAUCACAUUCUUUAAUAAUAAGUUCACACACACACAUAUAUAAUAUUAAGGGAAAAUCAUUCAAAACAUCCCUCACAUUUUGUAAAAUAACUUUUUUCGUCCCUUACUUUUAAAAGUAUAAUUUUACGUCUCUUACAAAUUUACAUUGAUCAAAUUUGGUCCCUACCUAGGUUUCCAACUAGUUUUUAGUCGGAAUCCAUCACGUGUCUUGCACGUGAUUAUUUUUUAGGGGUAAAUUUGUCAAAUCAAAUUUUAUAAUCUAAUCCAUAAUCCCUUACAUUUCGCAAAAUGAAUUUUUUCGUCCCUCACAUUGUACAAAAUUAAUUUUUUAUUCCUCAUAUUUUAUAAAAUGAAAAUUUUUUAUCCCUCAUUGACUAUGUGUAUGAAUAGUUUUUUUUUUUUAAUUCGUGUAUAUAUCUAAUUAAUUUCACUUGAAUAAUACGAAUAACAUGUAAUAUAUCUCUAUUUGAUUUAUAUACAUGCUAUUCAAUAAAUAUAUACAUGAGUUUAAAACUAAUAAUUUUAUUUUAAACCCAUGAAUAUAUUUAUUUGAUUUCACCAUAUGAAUUUGUUCAAUAUUUGUGGCCUUUUCUCUUUUAGUAAUAAUGUAUUUAUUGAGUUGUAUAAUAAGGCCAUCCAAUUAAUGGGUCCUAAUUCGAAUUCUAUAGUCAUGCUAAUGAAUUGCAAUUUAAAUUUGAAAUUUCUACUCGCCACCUUUAAGACCGACAAUUGAAUUACUUACUUUGUAAUUGUUUUAAAAUUUGAAAGUGCCAAUCACUUACUUCUUUUUAUCAUACUUUUUCUUUGAUUAUUUUUUUAUCCAAUUUUAAUUCGAUAUAAAUACUUGACAAUGUCGAAAUUAUUUGAUUUCAUCUAAAUAGGCUAAUGGUAGUCAUACACGUGCUAUUUGUAUUGUUCAAGUGAAAUUAAAUAGAUACAUAUAUAGAUUUUGAAAAAAACUAUUCAUACACAUGAUCAAUGAGGGAUGAAAAAAUUCAUUUUGUAAAAUGUGAGGGAAGAAAAAAUUUAUUUUGUGAAAUAUGAGGGACUAUGGAUCGAAUUGUAUAAAAUUAAUUUGAUAAUUUUACCUUUAAAAAAUGAUCACAUGCAAGGUACGUGAUGGAUUCGAACAAAAAACUAGUUGGAAACCUAAGUGGGUAUCAAAUUUGACCAAUAUGAAUUUGUAAGAGACGUAAAAUUACACUUUUAUAAGUAAGGGACGAAAAAAGUCAUUUUACAAAAUGUGAGGAACGUUUUAAACGAUUUUCCCUAAUACUAAUGUCAUAUAAAUGUAAAAGAAAAAAAUACUAACAUCAUAUAAAUUCAAUAAAUUACUAAUUCAUUAAUUGUCAAAAUAAAAUAAGAAUAAAAUGCGUAACUCAAGUUGGUUGUUUGAAUUGUAAAUUCUAAGAUAUUCUAAUUUAUGUAGAAGCUUAGAAUGGAGGAAGUAGUUUAGACAAAAGGAGUUGUAAAAGAAAUCUAUUUAGUUGAAAAAAUUUAGAUAAGAAAAUGCGCAGUUAUGGAAAAAAUUUAUGUGAUGGGUCCUAUAAGUUUCUUGACAAACAAACAUUCAAAACUUGCAGCAAAAGUUAUUUUCAUCACUUUCCUUCCUUUUUUCUGGCAAACAAACACUGUCUAAGCAAAUCACUAACACUAAAUUCUAAGUGAAUAAAUAUACCUAUGAUUAACUCUUUAUCUUUAUCACUUAAUUUACUUAAUUGUAUUUUAAUGACACGAAUAAAUUAACUAAGAAAAAAAAAAGAAGAAACAUAAAUUUAAUCUAAAUUCUUAUUACUCAUCUAAUACAAUUUCUUUCUAAUUUACAUCUCAUUUCAUUCUAAAACCUUUAAUGUUACUGUUCGAAAUUUAGGAGAAUAUAAUGGCUCAAAAUCAAAAUACUAGAGAUCAAAGGUGCAAAUUCAUUCUCAUAUUUCCAUUUGUUGCUUUAAAGAUGCCUAAAAUUAAAAACUUUAAGGACUAGAUUUACUUAAGACGAACAUUAAGAACCAAUAUAGCACACCAGUCAAAUAUUGAGGACCAAAACUAUAAUUCUAUCUUUCUAAUAUACUGUAUCAAUUUAUUUUCAAAUUAAUAUAUAUGUACCAUGUUUAAUGUACUUACAGCCAUUAGUGCAUAUAUGCACAUAUUGGUACGUAAAGUAUCCUUUUUACCCCAAAAAAAGACCAUCUCUAUCCAAACCCUCCUCUUUAAUCAUAUCUUAGAUCUCAGCGUAUAGAAUCCUUGCAAUCCUACGAGAACUGGAUUCUUCUUUAGCUUAGCUACCAAAAUCAGUCAUUCUCCCUCCUAGCUUUCAACCAUAAAUACUAGACAGUAGAUCUUCAAAAAGGAUAAUGUUUAUAUUUCGUGCAUCCCAGAAAAUUAUGUCAAAAGCUGCUAGAAUAACAAAAAAUAAUUUACGUCAAGAAAAAUUGUCAUGACCAUACAUGGACCAGAAAACGCUUAUGCAUAGGUUAAAGAUGCUAACACAUAUCAAGAUAAUCAUGCAAGACAAUCAAAUCAGACCAGCAAUUAUUGUAAGACCACAAAAUUUUUUAGGGCUUGAUCUGAGCUAAUUGCUAAUAACUCUACUUCAAUGAAUUGCCACUCUAAGGUUCAAGAUCAUGUAACAAGAGGACCCUUAUAGCAUAAAAAAAGCGUGGCAUCUUGUGCAGGCCAUAACUAAUUUCUUGGAAUCAAACUUUGCUAAAUAUGAUACUACUGCUUGCUGUGAAAUACUGCUCCUAUUGAUGCGAAGUCAUUUUUGGAAUUGAAGUGGAUAUGCAUCUUUAUUGUUUUGCUUUUGGAGGUUGAAGUGGAUAUGAUUUCAGCGGAUAUGGAUCUAUAAAAUUGAAUCUCAUAAUUCUGAAGAGAGGUCAAUGAAAUUGUCGUAAAACUCGGUGGAUUUAUGUGAAAUUGUACCUUUUAUAUAUGGUCGACCCUUAAUAAGGAAACCAUAUCGAAUUAACUUUUGACACUCCACUAGGAAAUUAGAAACUUGAUUCCUUCUUUUCCGAAAAAAAAAAAAAAUUGAUUCCUUUCAAAGAAAAACGAAAAACAAUAAAAAUUGGGCGGUUUGGGGUUGGGAGGGAGCCAAGAGGAUGAAGUAUGACUAGUCGAUCUGACCAUAGUGACAAAACUUUUGCCGAACAGGUGUAUAUUUUAAAGGCCCGUUUACCCUAUAAUAUAUGUGAAAUUCCCUAGGUUACAUUCAGUUGACUUGAGGGGUAGAUGCCGGGAAAGGCUUAGCACAUUGCAGCGGAGGAAGACCAAUUGCAUUUUAUAGACAACUGAAACGAAAAAAGAGAGGGAGAGGUGGAGGAGCAAUUUGGAUUAAGCUAUGAACUAAACUACUCGAUAUUCGAAUCCAACCUGGUUUGGUAAGAGGUCAAUUGAUCUUGGCUUGUCAACUAAUUAAAUUAAGUUUGAACAAUAUUUUAUAUUCGGUAACUUUUAAAUUCAAUAAGAAGUUCAUUCAAAUUCAAUUCGACAAAUAAAUAAAUAAAAUUUCAAAUUUGUUAAAAUAAUCAAAUAAGUUUGAACAUUAGAGUGUUUGAUUUGAUUAGAUUCGUUUAUCCCAUAGAAGCAAUCUCUUUUAACAUUUUUCUUUUCUAUUUUUGCAUUCUUUAUUUCCUUAAGUUGGAGACAUGGGUUUUUGCUUUUUUUUUUUUUCUUUUGUAUUAGAUUUAUUUGAAGAACUGACAGAAUAUAUUCAUGAAGACUGACUUGGUGUUCAAAGCACUGGAAGAGUUUUUUUUUUUUUUUCAUAUUUUAAUAGAGAAGUGACCUAUAAGGAUCAAUAGAGAUGGCAUUGUAGGGACGACUGCUUCCAUUACUAUCCGGAAAGACACCAAAUUCUCCUUUAGGUGCUUCAACUGCAGUGUAGGUAGAAGGAGCUUUGUUCUAAAUUCUAAUGCACCAUAAAAAAAAAAUAUAAAGCGUCCAAAAAAAGCAUUUUUUUCAUUCAUGUCAUUUUAGUAAUAUGUAAUCCUAUUUACACAUCAUUUUUUACUAUUUUUUCAAGAACUAAAAUAGUUUUUUUUUUCUUGAGGCUGGGUUGGAUAAUAAGAUGAGAAGGAGUGUAACAUAAAUAGGAGAUCAUCAAUUCAAAAUCUAUUUACUUACUGAAAAAAAAUGUAUGUUUUUGUUCCAAAGAAGUCAUUACGAAGUUAUCUAGGAGUGUGAUUGAACAGAUUAGAAGGCAAAAGGAAGUGGACAAAAUAUAUAAUAAAGUAGUAUUACUUCUACUGUUUUAACGUUAACGAAUGAAUGAAUGAAUCAAUUUAAUCUACAGCAUCUAUACAUCAAAAUCUCUAAUGGACUACAUUUUUUUUCCUAUAGGCUACAUUUAUCUUCUUUUUUUCUUCACUCUUCAAACUAAAGUGGAACAAGUGGAGGUUAAGGGAUCAUAGAUCGCUGGAAGUAGAUACUUGCGCGCAUU